AAAAAAAAAAAAAAAGUACAAAUAUUUUACAAUGAUGUAAACUAAUAGUAUUCAUUGGUCGGGUGGUGCUUCAGUAGUAGGCGGGGCUUCAGCAGUCGGCGGGGCCACAGAAGGAGGAGGCGGCAGAGGUUGAUCAGUUGGAGCUUCACUACGCGGUGCCGCUCCAGAAGACGAAGGCAGAUGCGGUUGGAACAAACCCACAAACCUCCGAUGAUCAAGUAAAAUUUGACCAUCGGUGUCCUGCAUCUGGUCAAUCUUUCUCUUCAUGCUGGUGGCAUAGUUGUGUGCAAGCUUGUGCAAUUGUUUAUUUUCAUGCUUGAGUCCUCUAAUCUCCUCUUUGAGACUCUGUAUUUCAGCCACCAACGAUUCAACGUGACGGGUUCGAGCAAAUAGGCGUUGGGCCAUGUUGGAUACAGAACCCGCACACUGCACGCUAAGAGCCAGAGACUCCUUAACCGCCAAUUCAUCAGACCGCCUAGCGAGCAGUCUGUUAUCUCUGGGGGUGACAAGGUUCCGGGCCACCACCGCAGCAGUCAUGUCAUUUUUCAUCACCGAAUCCCCCACGGUAAGAGGACCGGUAGGGGAUAUGAAGGAAGGGCGCCAUAUGUUGUCUGGUGAAGGCGGAGCUGCCUCUUCACGAAUGUUCAAGUCAAAACGUCGAUCAGAAGGGCCUGCCAUUUUCUGAAGGUGUUGAGAAAGAAGAGUCGGAUUGAUCAAGAUUAAACAAGUGCAAGAAGGGAGUGUUUACAGGAGGGAGCUCAAGUGUGUUGUGGAACAACAUUAACGCCUCUAUAAAAAGAAGCAAUCAAAGAGGCGCUCCUCAGAAAUCGAAGAGGCGGUCCUCUCGCAAAUCGAAGAGUCGGGGCUCCUUUCUCGAACGCCUGAUUCUUUUCUCAAAAGAGGAGUCUCCAUUCUCAAAAGCCGGAUUCUUUUCUCAAUUGAGGCGUUUAAUUUCUUAAAAGCUGGGCUUCAACCCACGGGCAAAUCUUCUUUUCCAGAUUUAUCCGCACGUGUCACAUGCUACCUCUACAAUCGACGAUGCCCAGAGCUCGAAGCGCCGAUUCCAGAUAUCAAUGAGGAAUCUGCUUUGCGGAAAUUACGGGCAGCUUUGUCAGAAAGCGCGUAAUUUGUACUAUUCAUCCAUCCACUGGCUGCCGACAAUGAGUGAGAGAACAGUUCCGGUUGUGAAGAAAAGCCCUAUAAGUAUCUACCUUCGCCUUCCACAGCAAAACACACCCUCUCCGCACUUCUUCAUCUCCGAAAAUGCAUUCCCAAAGAAUCCUCCUAAGUUACUCUGUGUUCCUCAUUCCUUGGGAUACUCCUGAAAACAACCCAUUCAAAGCAAAAGUAUUUCAUAUCAUGAAGGUUGAAAGCAAGAGUAUCUCAUAUCAUGCUUUCUCCCUGUCCUUUCUCCAGCCAGCACUUGCUCUCGAGUACUCAUCAUCUUGUGUUUCCUCUUCGUCUCUUACGUAUAAGGGAAGUGAAGAUGAUACCUCGAAGCAUGUGGAGACAACGUGCUGAUUCAUCCUCAGCUAGGGACAAGGAGAAAGAGAGCAAAGAGGUGGGCACUUUGGAAAGAUUGAAGAAAGAAACAGACCAAUACCUCUACCUCGUGCCUGCCCGCCAUGCAGAGGAAACAAGCAGAGAAGAAUGCAGCUUGCGCAAUCAUCCCAGCGGAAGGAGUCUGAGAUGAAGAACAAAAGAAGCUGCCACAUCUGCUUGGAGAACAAAUAAGGAACUGCAACAUUCCCAAAGAGCAAAGCCUUGCAGUACAAUAGCAUAAAAUCAUCACUUGCAAGUGAAAAGCUAAGUGUCACCCUGUUCAAGAGGAAAGUUGUGGAAAGUCAACAAGCACGACCAAUGAUUACUUAUUAGUUUUAUUCAUUAUCUUUUAUCGUAAUUUUCAAUUUUUCGUUUGCAAUUUUUUUUAAUUAAUUUUCUUGCGUACUUAACUGAAUUUUUCCUUUUCUUUGCAGGAACUUUUUGGUUAUUUCCACCCUUGAAGUUGAUUGCAGAAUUUUAGCUUGGGGGUCAUCGCUUGAUUUUACUGCAAAUUAGGGAAGUUUUCAGUCCAAUUGUUUUAUUUUGUUUCUUAUUAUUUAUUUAUUUUAUUUUUAUUUGCAUUAUAGUGUUUUCUGACAUUGGGGACAAUGUCAAGUUUAAGUGUGGGGGUAGAAAUCUCCAGAAUUUCAUUUGUCUCUGUGUUGUUUUUUUUUUUUUGUGUUCUUAAUUAGUUUUGUUUUCUUUUAAAAAAAAAAAUUAAAAAAAACUGUGUUGUUGUUUUUUGUGUUCUUAAUUAGUUUUGUUUUCUUUUAAAAAAAUUUUAAAUUAAAAAAAUUUCGGAAAAUUUAAAAAUCCAAAAAUAUUGUCUUGUUUCCCUUAUUGUUUUGAAUUAUAUUUUUGUUAGUUUCCCGACCCAAUGAUAUAAUUAGAUCAAAUUUGAAUCACGAUUAUCAAGAACUUAGUUAACAUGUGUUUUAUGAAAUUCCUAAUUCUCUUGUUAGUUUUGUACAUGUUUGACCAUCUUUGAAAAACCAAAUGCACAUAGCCUUGUUAAUGUGAAACUAAAGUAUGACUUAAAGCUUCAUAUGUGAAUUUAGUGACCAUAUACAUCCUAUGUGAGUUUUUGAGCCGAUUGAAAGUGUGUGCAUUUUUCAUACACUCCUAUUCUUUCAUGUGUGAUGAACUUAUGUGAGAUACAUCUCUAGAACUUGCGUAACGAUCUUUCGAAAUGUUUGUCAUUGAUUGCAUGAACUUGGAAAUGAUAGAGGCAUUAGGUUUACCACUAUGGCCCAAAUAACCAUGUUUCCCAAAGAAAAAUGAUAUCAUUAGUUUGCCAAUUUGAGCCGUGUUUGUGGAGCCUUUUAUUUCUUAUCACCAGAUAUGUCUACCCUUAUACCUGAAACAUUUUUCCUUACCCUUUCCAAGCGAGCAAUGCGAGAUUGUCUUAUGAGAAACGUUUGUGAAAUACUGUGAAGAUGUUUGGCAAAAGAAUAAGUGUGGGGGUAUUUCAUGUUUGUGAAUUAAAAAAAAAAAAAAAAAAAAAAAAAAAAAAAAAAAAAGAAAGAAAAGAAAAAGAAAAGAUAAAGAUUGUAUAAAAAGAAAAUAAAAAGUUUUUAAAGUUUCAGUUAAGGGUGUGGUUGGAGGUGUUAGAAGAAUCGUUGGAGAGCUUGAGUUUUUAUGAAUCUAAAGAAAAGAAUUGCUUGCAAUGUAGCUUGGAACUUGUGUUUUCCUAUUCUUUCAUUUCAAUAACCCUCUCCCUAAACCUCAUUACAUCCAAUAAAAGUCCUCUUGAUUUAAGUUUUGCAAUUAUGAUUGUGGAGAUGAGAUCUUUAUGCAAGCUUAUAGUAGAAAUUUCACAUUUGAUUCUUUGAGCGAAACACAUUAAAACUAAACACAUGUGUGAUUGAGUGCAUAUCCCGUGAGAAGUUCGCUAGUUUGCAUAUGAUGAUUUUAAAAAUAAAAACUUGAAAUUGCAUUAGCAUGGCUAUCUCACACACUACACUUCAAGGAUGAUUCAAAGAUUACUGCUAAUAUUUGAAUAAGGAAAAUGAACUUGGAUUAGUUUGUUUGGUGCUAGCUAUGGUUCUUGAUGAUUUGUUUUCUCGAAUGAAAUUCUAUGAGAGUCACAUAGGGGGAAACUAAUGUUUUUCAUGUUAUUACUUUUCAUGUUUUCUUUGUUUUGCUCGAGGACUAGCAAAAGUUAAGUGUGGGGGUAUUUGAUCGGAUCAUAUUUAUAUAUAUUUUUACUUCAAAUUUACCCGUCUUUUCUUAGUUAGUUCUUUAUAUUUUUGAGCUAUUUACGUUAUUUUUGUGUUUAUAGGAUUUGUUUAUGCAAAGAAAAUAAAAAUAGAACAAGUGAAGUUUUAUGUAAUAAAUUCGUCAAAAGCAAAUUUAAAUUACAAUAUUGAUGACCCAUUGUGACGCUAAAUGAUAAACCAAUAUUUAAACUAUAUAUUUCAUCCUUUUUUAUUUCUUUUCUUGUCUAAUUUAGUUGGAAGCUUUAAGUAUUUAUGAUACUUUUGAUAUAUUGUGUUUGUAGGAGUAACAUGAUCGAAUAUAGUGAAAAAGUAUGCAAAGAUGGAAUUUUUCAGUGAUUCCUUUCUAAGGACAUCUCACUGUUGAUUAAUGGCCAACUUGCUAGAUGGAAAUCAUUGAAUGCAUACAUCGUGUCUCAUCUUAAAUUAGUUUCUCAACUUUGUGGUACCAAAAGGACUUAUUUUUCUGCUAAGUGGGGCGACAAAAGGGAGCAGAAAAUAAAGAAAAGACUGAAUAAAAACAGCAGGAUAGAAAAGAGAGAGAGACGGCAGACUGUAAAGAAAAAGUGAGGAGCAAAAGGAAGUGGGAGUGGUGCGCAGAAACGGAAAUUUAAUAAAAAAAAGGAGGAUCAGAUUUAAUAAAAAGCGGGGAGCACAGCGCGCCAGGCAAGUCAGAGGGGCAUGUUAUGUAGGAGCACGGGGAGAGAAGUGGGAGACAGCUACGGGAGGACACGGAUUGGAAGGAAUACAAAAUUAAAAGCUGUCUGAGUAGUUGGGGGAGUUAGGCGGGAUAGAAGGGAAAUAAGAAGGGAGAGACGCAAGGAUUGGGGGGAAUUUGGUGGAAGGCAGAGGGCUGCCCUUUGGGCAGCGUGAAGCUGUGGAGAGAAGGGAAGGGGGAAACUGCCCUUUGGCAGCGAGGUCAAACAGCACAGGAAAACAGAAAGAAGGAGGGCAGCUCGCAGACGUAGAGAGGACAGGAGGUCAGCAUGAAAAUGCAGUUCAGAGUCCAAGCAGCAGAUCCUUUCUUUCGGUUUAAUCUUUCCAAACUCCUAUUUUAUUUCUGUUUUUAAUAAUGUGUAAUUAAAUUUAUGUUGGUUAGAGGUUAAUUCGAAACCAUGAAUAUAUUUGUAAUAUGAAUUGAUUACCUUCAGUUGUGAGUUAUAAGUUGUGAAUUCAAUUUACUUAUCCGUUCGUAUAAAAACUGAUUUGUGUAUGUUGGUUGAGAGUGCACGCUUAAUUUACAUGCAUGAAUUGAUGCUAGAAUAUAAGUGAAUUUCACCUAAUCGUUAUGAACUUAUUUUCACAAGUAGUAAAGGUUGCUAGUCACAAUCACGUUAAGUAAAUUCUUGGCAAGAGUAUCAUGCUUUUCAUAGUUACGAAUGCCUCGUCAAUGCUUAUAGUUUUCACAAAGUUUAAUGAUCUUUGAUUGUAUCUCUAUUGUGCUUUUCACGUAGGGGACUUUUGAAGAAUGUUUUGAAUUGUUGUAUGCGUUUUUCCCGUCCAAUUCAAUAACUUAAGGAAAACUUGAAGAUUAAAAAAAGUGCUGUUCACGGUUAAUCUGGAGUAUUGAGAUUCACAAUUUAUUAAAUGAACAACUGGAAAUCAUUUUGUAUGCAAGUAUAACAUGUGUGGAGAAGAACCAUCUAGCUAGUCCGUCAUUUAUCAUUUUACCUUAAUUUUAUGUUUUUGUCAAUUCUGUAAUUUAAUUAAGUUUAAUUUACUUUUCAUCAAAACCAAACACCCAUCCAUUAUUAAAUUAUUUUAUUUAUUUAGUUUUCUUUAUUGUUAGUCUUUUAAUUUAAUUUCCGUCCAUUUCAGUUCCUAGUGUUUAAUUUAAUUGUUUUCAUUAUUUUGAGUCAUUCUAAGUGUGUUUCGAGUUAUUAGAGUUUUUAGCCUAAUUUUGUGUCUUUGAGUCUUGUUUAAUAUUUUUAAAUUAAUUUAGAAUAGAUUAGCAAUCCCUCCUAAUCCCCGGCCUAGAACGAUACCCUACUUACAUCUAUACUACAAUUGUCAAAAAGAGGGUUUAAUUUGUGUGUUAACUUAUUCUCACAUCAGCAACACAUCGAGCCCGAGUUCCAAUCCUAUUCGGACUAGGUCUCCUUCUCCGGAUUAACAUCCCCUCGAUCAGUCCUAUCUCCGCUAGGACUACAAAUCUAGUCCUUAACUGAGCCGGAUUCGCUUUCUAGGUUAUUGACCCCGUCGAGAGUCCCUAUUGCACUAGGAUUCGACCUCUUGCGUUAUGACCUAGCCGACCUGGGUUUGGAGGCCCACAUACUGAACAAUCCGUGAUAUUCUUGCCGCAAGGCCUCCAGGGCCGAGAAUGACCCUACACUCGGCCCAAAUUGUUAUUUUGGGCCCAAACACUAAUAUAACAUCUAAUUUAACAAACUUUAUCGUAUGACAUAAAAAAAAAAAAUCAAUUGUACGUCUCAUGAUAUUUUUCUUCACUUAUAAGACGUCUCAGCCCUUAGGUUUGAUUCACAUGACGUAUUAUAUUUGUGUGUGUUGAGUUCGAUACUAGUCAGUACAUUAAAUCAUUUUUAUAAAAACAAAAAUAAAAAAAGGGUUGGUUAAGAACUCCUAAACUACACAUAUGGUUUUGAUAAGUCCAUAUCAGCUCAUCACAUCCGUUCAUUUUUAAGAUAAGAAAAUGAAAGGGUGGGAUUAAAUUUUAUUUGGGGCAUGCGCACUUGUAACGUGUGCGUCCAUAUAGCGAAUGGGUCCUAAAAGAGUUACAAUCUUUGAUACAAUAUAACCUUGUUUAAUGGGUGUCGAAUGUGAAUUUCAUUGUGCAUGUCAAGCAAUCAAUCACCAAUCAUAAACAUGCAGAAAUAAAGGUUGGACUGAAAAGAGUCAAAAUAAUGCCAGCUCAAACUGACUCAACAUUCAACCACGGUGCCAACCUACGACCAUCAUGCCUAUAACUACGGAUCAUUUCUUUUUAUUUAUCGAAAAUAUUAUUCUUAUUAUCUAUUUGUAUAAUCUUUUUAAUAAAAAUGAAAUUCAUAUACAUCGGUAUGUUCCUCUUAGAUUAGAGAAUCACAAAGAUAAUAAUAUGAAUAGGUAGCAAGUAUAGCAUUACCCCUUAUUUAUAUCAUUCAUUUUAUUUCCAUACUGAAUAGCCGCGUAAAAAUUAAUUAAUUAAUUAAUCAAUAUAGUAAUCCAUGUUAAUACAGUAAAACCAUUUUGAUUCAGUGAAACCAUAAAAUUCAAAUUUGUGGAGAUUUUGGAUGUUUUCCUUUCCAAUUGUUACUUUGUAUGGUAAAACAAUUUAAGAAAGAAAAAUCACAGUAAAUAUGAAUUCUAUAUUUCACUUUCGCGAGAAGAUAAGCAUGCCAACGUAUUUCCUACCAAAAAGGUAUUUUAAUAUUUUUCUCAGGGAAGAAUAAUCAACACCGUAAUAAUACAAAAACGUGUGUAAUAAUAUUAUGCACCGCAAUAUUUUUCUUGAUCCAGCUGUCGACAUGUAGAGCGCACGUGUAAGACGACAACUGACGUGUACACCCCGACGCACCGUACCAUGUCGGCUAUUGACCCGUCGAACGUACUCGGAUCCCUAGGGAGAAUCCGACCCAGACCGACUCACACACCCGUCCAAAAGAGGUGGCGUAAGCAGUGACAACAUCGCACCUCCAUAAGUUUCUAUUGCCACGACGCACCGCACUUCCAUGGCUGACACGUGUCCGACUGCGGUCAGCAAAACGCCCCCAAAAACCAGUCCGCACGGACUGCCCAAGAAACGUUAUCGCCCACGUGUCCCUCCCUUCCCCUCCCCCUCUUCAUAUAUAUUCAGUUCUCCCCCUUACGUUUCAAGUUUCAAGUGCCGACUAGCUUGCUUCGCACAGAGGGCGAGUGAAAUAACGACUGCGAGAUAGAGAGAGUGCAAACGACACCCAUUGAAAUGUCGUCCGCCGAUUUACAGCUUCCACCGGGGUUCAGGUUCCACCCGACGGACGAGGAGCUGGUGAGACACUACCUCUGCCGGAAAUGCGCGUCGCAGCCGAUAUCAGUUCCGAUCAUUGCCGAAAUCGAUCUCUACAAAUACGACCCCUGGGAGCUCCCAGGUAGUUUUCCCUAAAUUCUAGCCAUUUUUUUCAAUUGUUUUUUAGUUUUCAGGGAAAUCGAUUUUUUUUAAUAUUAUUUAUUUACUCAAAAGUAAUUUUUGUGUUGCAGGCUUGGCGUUGUACGGGGAAAAGGAGUGGUAUUUCUUUUCGCCAAGGGAUCGGAAGUACCCGAACGGUUCGAGGCCGAACCGGGCGGCCGGAAGCGGCUACUGGAAGGCGACCGGGGCCGAUAAGCCGAUUGGGCACCCGAAACCUGUGGGGAUUAAGAAAGCUCUGGUGUUCUAUGCUGGAAAAGCCCCUCGCGGCGAAAAGACCAACUGGAUUAUGCACGAAUACCGCCUCGCCGACGUUGACCGCUCGCCGAGGAAGAAGAACAGCCUCAGGGUAUACUCGCUAUUCUCUCUCUCUCUCUCUUUUUCGACGAUGGGGGUUGGGGUAAAAUCGUAAAUUCCUAACUUCGUUGCAUGACGAUGACGAUGACGGUUCGCUUGACACGACGUCGUUCAAAUCGUAUUUUGACCUAAAUAAUAUUCCCCAAAUCCGAAUGUCUUUCAAUGAAUUGGCGGCCAUAAAAAAGGACGGUGGAUAUUGAGCCUAAUUUAGAUCAACGGUGUGACCAAGAUUUCCAAUUUUGGAACUUUAUUGUGACGCUGACGGAGGCGUAUUGGCGGUAACUAAAAGAUAAGACUGAUAUUAAUAGGGGGAUUCUAUUUGUGGUUAGGAUUGAUUUAAUUUGGUUAAUUAACUUAAUUUAAUGAAUUAGCAAGUUGAUUAACAAUUGUUUUCGAUAUUGAUGGACGGUCUGAUUUUACAGCUGGAUGAUUGGGUUCUGUGCCGAAUAUACAACAAGAAGGGGACCGUGGAGAACCAGCAGCCUCAGCAGCAGCAAGAACAACAGCGAACGACUAGUCGUAACGCGAGCAGUGGCUCGGAGUUCGAGGACAGGAAGCCGGAUAAUCUGAGGUGCCCGCCGCCGCCGGCUUCCGUGGUCCCCAGUCGUCACGUGAGCGAUUACGUGUACUUCGACAACUCUGACUCGGUGCCGAAGCUGCACACGGACUCGAGCUGCUCGGAGCAGGUGGUGUCGCCGGAGUUGGCGUGCGAGGUGCAGAGCGAGCCCAAGUGGAAGGAGUGGGAGAAGGCGCUGGAAAUGCCGUACAGUUACAUGGAUACGACGGUGGAGAACGGGUUCGGAGCGCAGUUCCAGAGCGGGAAUGAGAUGUCGCCGCUGCAGGAUAUCUUUAUGUACCUGCAGAAGCCGUACUGAUUUGGUUAAAGCAUAUUUAGAGUCGGUGCAUGGGACGGCAACAGGAGACGGAAGUCGAUGAGAGUGCGUUUGUGCGUCGACGGAUCUGGAAAGGGGAAAUGGGAAUGGGAAUGGGAAUGGGAUUGGGAUUGGGAAUUCAGUUGUGGAGUCCUGCAUUUUGGGGUCCAAGAGUGAAUUAGGAGGUUCGAGUACUAAAAUAUGUACAAGAUGUGUAUAUAUAGGUUAUAUAUAUCGUUCACAUGGUCUAAUAUUUGUUUGUAAUUCAGUUCAUGGUGGUAGUAGUGAAUAAUAUGUUUUUGUGUUUCUAUCGUCUACUUAAUUAGUGAUAUUCGUAGUUUUUUUUUCAGUAAAAGAAUUGUAUUAUUAACUCGAAUACUGUCGUUGGUUAAUUUAAUCUCAAAUUUAAUAAAAUCUAUCAUUUGACAGCACAAAAAAUACGAACAGAAGCAUUUGUAACUUAUGCUAGAACAUUAUAUUAAAAAUACAUUCAGGUCAUAUUUCAUCUCAAAUCAACUUUCGUUCAACCAAAUCUUCCGCCAUGAACGCACGCAGUAUGGACUAAAUUAGUGAUAUUCAAAGGUAGAAGGUUGUAAAUUUAGGUUGUGGUCUUUGAAAAAAGGUGGAUGGCAAUGACUUGAAUUUGUGUAUAUGUUGACUCACCAACUUUCCAAUUCUUGGAUUCAUCUAAUCGACAAGCUUUAAGUUCUGGUGUUUUGGGUCAUAUCACAAUACCAGUGGCAAGUAAACAAGUGAAAUUUCACCUUCUAUCUUCAUAAAACAAAGAGAUAUAAACACGUGAGAUUUAAAAAAAAGAUGAAUUUUAUAUAUUUAUCACUUUUAUCUACAACGUUAUAAUCUCAGAGCAUUGUAGUCAUGUUCACAUUGUGUGGAAUAAUGGACACAUAAAGAUGGUCUAAUCAUUUCAAGAUACAUUAUUAGGAAAAUUAUUUCAAGAUGCAAGCGAAUCAUACAAACAUUUUCCUGAUGUAGCAAAGUUGUCGUCAUUCAUACUUGGUUCUCUAUAAAUGUGGUGAGACACCUAUAACAAACAAGUCUUAUCACAUUAAGUUAGGUUGACUAUAUAAAUCAUAGAACGACAUUGCGCUCAUUUCUGCUUAAGUUUUCUGUUAACUCCAAGUACUUCAUAUUUUUUCUUAUUGUCUCUUUCAAAGUCUUCAUAUGUCUUUCUCUAUCCUUUUUGCCCUGAGCUUUCGUAUCAUAGUCGCAUCUUCUAACCAGAGCAUCACUAAGUCUUCAGUUCUCUUGUCCAAUAUAUAUCGAUUUUCUCUUAUCUUAUCUUCAAUUGCGACCACUCUUAUUUUACCUCGGAUAUCCUCGUUCUUAUUAACACUAAUCGAGAAGAAGAAGAAAUACAUAAAUGUUGCAGACAUUUUUCAAGAGAGAAAUAAACUGAGUAAUAUGUGUAUAUUGCAGAGAAUGAAUUGAUACAACUAACAGAGAGAUAUUCUCUAUUUAUACAUGCUUCAUGCUUCAGUAGUAAGAUUCUAACAAACUAAUAACCACCUUAUCACUUCCUACAAUCCUAACUGUCAAUUUAACCAACUCUUGCUGAUGUGGACCUUAUUGAUGUGUUUAUCAGUCAACAUCCCCCCUCAAUCUCAACUGGGUUACCAAGCUUGAGACUGAAAGAAUGCUUGAGAAACGAUGGACUAUGCAAUCCCUUAGUUAAGAUAUCAGUAGUUUAGUAUUCAGUUGAUAAGUACUGAACUUGGAGAUCUCCUUUUUGAACCUUCUCCCUUACAAAAUGAUAAUAUGUAUCUAAGUGCUUAAUCCUGGAGUGAAAUACUGGAUUUGCACUUAGAGCAAUGACAAAUUUGUUGUCACAAUAGAUCACAGGCACAUAAUUCAACACCACAACCAUAUCUUUUAAAACAUUUCAUAUCCAAGCUAUAUCAGCUGCUGUAUGAGCUAAGACCUUAUACUUAGCUUCUGUAGAGCUUCUUGACACUGAGUCUUGUUUCUUCGAUUGCCAAGAAACUGGAUUGCUUCCAAUGUAGACUGCAUAUCCAGUGACAUACCUCCUUGUAUUUAAGUCAACAUCCUAAUUUGCAUCACUAAAAGCAUUAAUCCCAACUUCUGUAUUAGUUGAAAAUGUAAUCCCUUGCUGCAUUGUUCUUUUUAAAAAUCGUAAUAUCCUUUUUACUGCCCCAAAAUGAACCUCAGUUGGUUUAGCCAUGAAUUGACUCAUAAUAUUCACUGCAUAUGUAAUAUCUGGCCUAGUAAAGGUUAGAUAUUGCAAUGAUCCAAUAAUGCUCCUAUAUAAACUUGGAUCUGAUAAUGCUUCUCCUUGAGGUUUACAUGGUGUUGAUCCUGGUUUACAUGUGUUCAUACCAGUUUUGUGAAGAAGGUCUUUAACAUAUUUAGACCGAUUCACACAAAUAUCUCAAUUUGACUUGUAAUUGAUCUGCAAACCAAGGAAAUAUGUUAACCUGCCCAUAUCUUUGAGCUCAAACACCUCAGAUAGUUCUGUGAUAAUCUUUUGAACUUGACUGGAAUUAGACCCAGUAAUAAUAAUGUCAUUUACAUAGAGAAGUAGUAUGACAAUAUCACUCUCACACUAUUUGACAAAUAGACUAGAAUUUGAGGUUGAAGAUUUAAAACCCACUGCAGGUAGAUAACUCGUGAACUUAGAAUUCCAAGCUCUUGGGGAAUGUUUAAGACCAUAUAGAGACUUAAUCAGUUUGCUGACAUGUGUUGGCUUAGUCAUAUCCACAAAACCUUGAGGUUGUUUCAUGUAAAUGUCAUCUUGCAAUUCACCAUGCAAGAAUGCAUUUUUGAUAUCAAGCUAUCUCAAAUCCCAAUGGUUAAUAACAGCCAAUGCCAAAACAAUUAUAAUUGUGGUAUGUAUCACCAUUGGAAUAAAGAUUUCUAAAUAAUCAACACCUUGCUCCUGUGAAAAACCUUGUGCCACCAGCCUUGCUUUGUACCUUGACACUGUGCCAUCUGGAUUCUUUUUUAUUUUGUACACCUAUUUGCUGCCAAUAAUAGCCCAAUCAUCAAGUGUGGAACUAAUUCCCAAGUUCCUUGAGCCUUAAGAGAAUCAUACUCUUCUUGCAUUACACUUUGCCAUUGUGGCAUUGUAGCAACUUUCCUGAAUGUUGAUGGCUUAGCAGCAUCACUAUUAACAACCAAAACUGAAAAACCUCCAUCAAAGGUAGUAUCUUCUGUUAAUUGAAGUGACUGAAGUUCAGGCAAGGUGGCUAAAUAUCCCUUAUAACUCCUAUGUGGUAUUGUGCCACUCUUUAAUCUAGUGAUCAUUGGAUGAACAGAAGUAUUACUUAAUUCACCAAGGUUAGAUGAUAUAGAACAAGAUAAGGGUAGAAUUACCUCAAGUUGUGUGUCAUUGUGGGCAGACAACAUUUGUGAUACACCAUAGGAGUUAGGAGUGAUAGGAUGAGGAUCUUGAGUUGAUGAAGUACCCUGUGACAGUAGAGAAUGGUCUGAAAUAGAAGAUGAAGUCAAUGGGUCCAAUCUACUUGCAGAAUGAUCAUUAUUGUCAGACACAGAUAGGGACAUAUCAUGUGCAACCUCACUGCGAUUAUCCCUAUGCAUAUCUGGAGUUUCUAUAAUAUUCUGGAUAGGAACUUGAACAACAAUAGGUCUUUGAUUACUACAUGAAACCUGUGACCUUUACUUAACUUGGUACUAACCAGAACUUUAUAAGGAAACACUGAUUCAUCAUGAAUGACAUGCCUUGAUAAUUAAUAUUGUAGCAUACAACCCCUUUAUACCCCAGAGCAUAACCAAGGAAAACACACUGAACAGAUCUUGCUUGUAAUUUAUUUGCAUUAUAAGGCCUGAGAAAUGGAUACACAGCUGUCCUAAACACUUUUAAAUGUUGUAUAUCAGGGAUCUUACCAAAUAGCAUCUGAUAUGGAGACUGCAUGUGUAGUACUUUGCUUGGCAUUCUAUUAAUAAAAAAAGUAGCAUAUGAACAAGCAUGAAACCAGAAGGAUGAGGACAGAUUUGCUUCGGACAUUAAAGUCAAUGCAGUCUCUAUCAAAUGUCAAUUUCUUCGCAGAAAUAUCAUUAUGUUGAGGAGUAUAUGGACAUGAUAUUCUGUGAACAAUCCCUUUUGAUUCUAGAAAUUUGACAAACACCUUACUCAUAUAUUCCCCUCCUCCAUCAGUUUGCAAACGUUUAAUCUAAUUUUGAAUACUCAUCAAUAAAAUUGAUGUAAUAUCUAUGUCCUUCAAUUAAUAUCUUUGAAGAAUGCCCCUAUAAAUAUGAAUGUACUCUUUCAAACAUAAAAGUAGCACUACUUUGUUUUACAGGAAAAGACUGCCUACACAUUUUACUUGACACGCAUGAGAUACAUAUAGACUGAGAAGAAUCUAUACUAACUGGUACUUGAGCUGCUUUUAACAUAGCUGUCAAUACUUCUUCAGACGGAAUGCCAAGCCUUUUAUGCCAAAUUGCAGUCUUUAUCUUCUUUCCUACAAACCCAACUGUCAUAACUUUCGGCUUCUCCUUUUCAGAACAUGAUCUUGAAAACACUGUCACAGGUAUUGUGAAGAGAUCCCCAUUACUCAUUCCUUAAUAAAGUAUCACAUUGGUUGCCUUGUCCUGUAUAAAAAACAUAGUAUCAUCACAUGUAAACCAACAGCUAUUAUCAUGACACAAUUUCUUUAUUGAUAAGAGAUUCAUAAUAAUAUGUGGCAUAUGUAAAACAUUUUUCAAAUAUAAGUAAUCAUCUGGAGUAAUGAGUUUCGCGAAACCAAUAUGUUCACAUCCAAACCUUGACCAUUUCCAAUGAUUAUCUUCUCAUCACCAUUGUAUGUAGUGACUUGAUUCAUAUUGUUGAGAUUUGCUGUCAUGUGGUGUAUAGCUCCAGUGUUGAGAACCCAUGUGUCAGCAGUAGAGAAUCCAUGUGGUUGUGUCUCAUUUGUUAUUGAAGAAAAGCUUUGUUGACCUUGUGCAGACAUUGCAGUGAUUGUUGGAGGUGGUGGAGCCCUUUGAUAAGCAUAAUUGUUCCUAUGAAAACACUCCAAUGCAUUGUGUCAUUUCUUUCCACAUAUCUGGCACACCAAAAUUUGAUACUGACUAGCAUUAUUCGUACUCCUGAAAUGACAAUUAGUUGCAGUGUGACCUCUCAUCGAGCAUAUUUGACAUUCACGUGUAAUUGAUGAUCUGAAAUUGGUAUUCUCAUUCCAACUCUGCCAGCUUGAACCAUUCUUUGAUCCACCAUUAGAUGACUAAGCAUUGAAGCCUGACUAUGAACUGUUAUCUUGAUCAGAAAAUCCACCAUUAAAUCCCUUAUUCUUGUUACCAAAGUAUAGUUUUGAUCCCCUAUUAGAAUUAAAUGACCCUCGAUUCUGGAAAGGCCUUUGAUUGCUGCCAAUGAACUCAUGCCCUCCUUGAUAGCCAUUAGACCCCAUAUUGGAACUUUCACCUUCUUGAUAACCAUUAGCCCACAUGGUAGAGCUUUCACCAUGAUACCUGCCAUUUGCUUGAUAAGAUCCAGUAUGUCCAUUACUAUUAUCACCAUUCAUAUACAUUGCAGACAUUGAACCUGUGAGGGAUGAGAGUCUUGAUUUUAUGGUAAGUUCAACACUCAGAAGUUGUGCAGGAAAAUCUUUUAAAGAAAUGGGUGUCUCUCUUGCCAAUAUCACGAUUUUGAUCAUAUCAAACUCCUGUGGUAAUCCAUUUAGAACAGCAAUAAUGAGAUCAUUUUCUGAAACCCUUUCUCUAGCAGAAAUCAAUUGAUCUCUUAUAGUUUUCAAUUUCAACAAAAACUUGUCAAUCGAAUCCCCUCAUUUUUGUGCCAUGUGAAACUCAGUCUUGAGUGAUUAAUUCUUGACAUUGAGACCGAUGCAUAACGAUCUUGUAAGCACUCCAAGCUUACUGUGAUGUUUUACAGCCAAUAACAUGCUCCAUUGCAUCAUCAGAUAAGGUAGCAAUAAGCAAAUUAAGUAAAGCCAUAUCCUUUUUCACCCAAUUCUUAUAAGCAGCAAUUAUCUCCUUUGUCACACCUGAUUCAGUAUGUAUGACAUAUUUAGAUGGACAUGGAUUGUCACCCGUAAAGAAAUCUAGCAAAUCAUAACCACGCAAAAUCGAUUGAAAUUGAAAAUUCCACUUAACAAAAUUAUCAUCUUGCAACUUCAUAGUAAGCAUUCCCAAACGACUUUCGAUCUUCAUAGAUUCUAUAGUAUUCUCAAACAUGUUAACAAUUCUCUCAAGAACUCUUCUUUUUCCAAUCAAGAUUUCAAGAAACUAGCAAUGUAAACUACCCUCUUUGGCAAUUGGCCUUUAACAGAGGAAAUAUAGCAGAAAACUUCAAGAUUCAAUCACUCCUGUAAUUGGCCUUUGAGGAGGAAAGAAUUCACAAAUAAGGAAUAAUAUGGCAAUCGGCCUUUGUAAACAUUCACAACAUCGAACAACUACAACUGGCUAUUAGCCUUGUAUACAACAUAGAAAGGAUGAGAAAAGAAAUUCACUGACACAAAUUAUCAAACACCUAGAGCGCAUAGAUCUUCAUCACCAACAAAACUCCAUAGACAAGUAUCGAAGACUCCCAAGAAUAGCAAAACGUCAUCAACCUUACAUAGAGAUCAGCUACCCUUCAGAGAUACUACAACGGUAGUCAAAUGAUCAUUCAUGGAGAUGAUACCAUAUUAACACAAAUCGAAGAAGAAGAAGAAAUAUAUAAAUGUUGCAGAGAGUUUUCAAGAGAGAAAGAAACUGAGUAAUAUGUGUAUAUUGCAGAGAUUGAAUUGAUACAACUAAGAGAGAGAUAUUCUCUAUUUAUACAUGCUUCAUGCUUCAGUAGUAAGAUUCUAACAAACUAAUAACCACCUUAUCACUUCCUACAAUCCUAACUGUCAAUUUAACCAACUUUCAUUGAUGUGGAUAACAACCUUGUUGAUGUGGACCUUACUGAUGUGUAUAUUAGUCACCAGUUCUUAAUCCUACAUUUUCUCAUAUGCCCACACAUUCAACAAAUCUCGUGUGCCUACACAUUUAACGAUACAUUCUCAUCUCUGCUACACUAAUUUUUGCACGUGUUGCUGAAGGAAAUUUUGUGAAAAACAUGUUCAUUUGAGCAACAUCUAUAUAGCAUGCAAUUAACAAUUAAAGGCGGAAUCAUGCUUGUAUGCACUCAAAAACAAAACAUUACCCAUGAAAUUCAAAGCCUAGUAGUUAGGUGAACCAAGACUCAACUAAAAACAAAGUGAGUUGAGAAAUUUAUACCUUUGUUGAUUCCUCUUUGCAUAAGCAAAGGAUAAUCACCCAAGAGAUAGGGCCUUCAUUCUUUGCUUCUUAUCUCCAUGGAUUUGGAUGGAAGAAUUGGUUUCUCCAAUUUCUCAAAGUUGAAAACCUCUAAGUCUCCACACCAAGGAAAUUGAUGAAGAAAUGAGUGACCUAGAGGAAGAAAGAUUGCUAGCUAAAUUCCUCUAGGGUGGCCGGCCUCUUAGAGAGAUAAGAGAGCUUGUGUUCUCAUCUUUUCUCCAAAAGAAACCCUAAUGAAGAAAUAGCUAUAAAGUCAUAUUUAUAUCUACCUUCAUUGGAGUGACAAACUUGUAAUAAGUCCAAAACCUACUCCUUUAUCUAUAUGGCCGGCCAUAGGGUUUUAUUGGGCUAUUUGGGCCUUUGUGAAUUAUUAGUCAUUAAGUUGGCAUACAACUUAAGUCAAUGGGCUUGACGUUUGAAGCCCAUUGGGCCUUGAGGCCCAAAACUAACCCGAGGUCUUUAACGAACUUUAUUCAUUUGAUUAAUUAACAUAUUAAUUAAUCCUUGCCAUAAAUAAUUAAACCAUUUAAUUAUCCAAACCAUUUAAUUAUCCUUACACGGUGUACGAUCCAUUAGGUUCCUUUUAGCGAGGCAGUGGGCGAUUAGAACUCUUUCAAAUCGAUUGUGAAUUGAAACUUACUUUCAAUUCUCCCUUUAGUGAUUAUACACGUUUAGGGCUUCCACAAAUCAUGAGUGACACCUAGCAGUAUGUCAUGGUUACCCAAGCUAAUCAAAAGAGGUGGAGAACCUAUUCAGUUUAGGAUUACAAUGCAAUACGGUAUUUCUCUAAUACAAUACUCUUGACCACAUUGUUUGGUUUGAUAGUUUAUUCAUGUCUACUAUCCAAUGUGAUUCAUUUACUUAUAUGAUUACCUUGAAUGUGAUUUGGAAUGACUUCCUAAAUCUUAUUCAUACUCUGGCCAGAGAUUCUUAAUCAUAUCAUAGAGUAUUCUCCCUCAAACGGUUUGAAGGUUAGAGAUCCCUUGUUGCGCAUUCACUUGCCUCCAUGGCUAAGUGGCUUAACCCCAACUAUGUCGUGGACACCCGCGAAUGGAGUGACUUUGACAUAAUCAAAUAUCAAGGACCUAACCACAAGACAACUAUGAUGCCUCAGGUCAAAUGAUUACUUUGCAUUAUCCCAACCAUGAGUUCUCAUGUGACAUGAGUAUGAAAACUUUUCGUUGACCGUGUUCAAUGAACUCAUUCCUUAUUGAGCACCUACGUAUUUGUCUUGGUGUCAGUCACACCAAUGACUCGAGACCAGUCACUCUUACUAAGAGAAGACAUAGCACGUACUGACCUUAACGGACUGUCAAUGCCUAAUUGGCAAUCCUAUGAUCAGCAACAUUUAGGAUAUGUAUACGAAAGAGAAUGGUCUCAUGAAUCUAACUUCUUUAAAUUACAUUCUCCUAAUUACAUAUUCCUUGGACUCAUCGUUUAAGCAUAUAACAUUUAUAUGAGACGACUUAAAACAAUAAUAUAUGCCCUUGAUAUUAAACUAGAUUAGUUUAACAUGUGAAAUGUCCGUAAAGUAUCAUCAUAUGAUUGGUUUUAGGGCACAUUUCCAACAGUUGCUUUUUGACUGCCCAACAUUUCGCACCAUAAAACAUCACUGGGCUUAUUGUCGUCCUAAUAAAAUUUUCCCUUGAGCUUUAGUGGCAUAUUAUGAUGCACUCUUCCACUUCAUCCAACCAACUUGUAUUAUGUGGUUGAGAGCUUCAUCUAAUUCUCUGUUAUUUUGCAAGAUAGAUCCACGAUAAAGAAAACGUUCACCCUUUGUACUUCCUGGUCUCCAAUCCUCACCCCUAACUUGCAAUUCAUAUAUAUAUUGACCAAUUUAGGCGAAGGUCUUUAUCUUCUAACACUUUCUACCAAAAUAUCGAUGAAAAUCUUGAAACCUUUUUCCCCGAUUUCAGUAAACAUGCUAUAGUUUGAGAAAAGCUUGUAAUACUAUGGUGUUUUAUAAUCACAUGGAUUAUUUUGAGUUCAACUCUUGAAAUAUUGUUUUAUAUUAAUUCAAAUCAUAAUUGCAUAUAGCUCAUUAUCUUGAAGGGAGAUACUUCUCGUGUCAAGAAUGUACUGGGUCUGGUAGGCCAUGGGCUUGUGCCUCAUUUGGCCUUAAUUUAGUCUUGCCUCCUACUCUAAGUUGACAACAAAUUUCAUGAUACGAAUAUAUUUAUGCAAUGAUGUUUUGUGCUAAUAAUAUAAUAUUAUGUACAAUUUCUUUCCACAUGACAUUGUAUAUUGGCAAAAAAAAAAAAAAACCUUUAACAUACUGUCUGGGCCCAAAAUAAUAUUUUGGACCGAGCUUAGAGUUGUUCUCGGCCCGGUAACAUUCAUCUAAAAUCUUGUCAUGGGUUGUUCAGUCAAGGUAGGCCAAAUCUUCUUGCUAGGAGGAUUGGUUUAGAAAAGGGUGAAGUAGUCGAACCUUAUUGUAACAAGGAGUUUUAAAGCUGAAGAUGCUUAGAAUUAGGGGAUGAAUCUGGUUCAGUAAGGAGCUUGGUUCAAAGUCCUAUAAGGGUUAGGAUUGACCGAAACCUGAUCAGAUUGGGUUAAAGAGUUCUAAUCCGAGUACAUUUCUAGUUCGGCCAUGAGAGGGGUUCGCUACUAUAAAUAGAAAAGGGAGUGCAUCAUUCAAGGCCCUUUCAAAUCAACACACAAAUUGCCCUGCGUAAAGCUUCUCAACAACCUCGAGAUUUUUUCAUCUCUCAUUUUCUUCUUGCCAACACAUCUUUAGUUUGGAUAAACAACAAACAUCAUUGUGAAGGCAACUGACGACAUCUUCAGUUUGGAUAAACAACAUUGGAGCUGUAGAAUCAGCCGACCGAGAAGCACUUUAGUUUGGAUAAACAACACCGCUUCGAGAUUGAUUGGUUAUUAUCCAAGUCUCGGUCGACAAGGAUUUCCGAGUCCUUAUUGGUAGAGGUCAUCUCAUCAGCCUUCUCAGUGAAGUGAGGUGUUACUAGGUUAUUAGGCUUGGCACAUUGAAAGCCGAGUUUUAUUUUAUGAUUGGAUAUUCACAAGUACAUUUUAGAGUUCUGCAUUCCGACAGCUGAACCACUUUUACAAUCAAGACAUUUAUCUCUUUUGAGUAUUUGUGUCCGUACAGUUUGGCGCUAGUUUGGCAUACUUAUACUCUCACGAAUAUAAUUACCGAGAUCGAACCCGAUACUAACGAUUUGUGAACUUUGAAGAGAUUAGCAGUCUUGUCUUCAGGCUCUAGAAUCGAAAGACCGAGACAUAUUCUUUUCUCGGCUGCAAUCGCAAGAUCAAGAAGUCAGCAGCGCGCCCGAUGCCACAUCAACAUAUUUUACUCCCUAGCCGAACUCGAUCGACGAGUUGGCAUGCCCCUUACACAACUGAAUGACGUAGUUAGCUUAUUAGUUACUCGGCUUAUGAGCCACGUAGGCUUGGUAGUUUUUAGGAUCAACAUUUUGGCAUAUCCAGUAGGACCCAGUGCUAAAACUACGAAGUUUAUGACCAUUGAAACACGGUUAGUUAAAAAGAAAACAGUCAUGGGUAAGUCAACAACUAAUCUUCCAUCUACUAUCCAAAGUCCAGGACAAGAUGGCUUGUCACAGGCAUAGAAUCAUUUUGCUGUCGUAACACCUGAAGCUAUAAGUACAACACACCGAGAAAAUGAAGUUAAUCUCGGCAGUCAGACUCGUGAUACAUAAAUCCCCACCAAAAUGACAAAAGGCAUUUUUGUUGAAUGACUGGUAGAGGAUUGUGACGACAACGAUAAUGAGGCCUCUAAUCCACCAUCUAAAUCUUUUCUCCGGCGACGAUUUGAAGAACAAUCCCAGCAGUUUGAGCAAAUGUUCAGCUGAGAGGUAAAAAACGUACUUGAAGAGAUGCGUGAUAAUAAUGAUGUGCACAACAGAUUGCUUAAAGUUUUGGUUAAUAAAGUCCAUGAUAUUGGACCCACCGAUCGACCUAGGUAGUCUCAGCUUCUAAAGAAUAAUCCAUUGCCAGCAAUAUAGGCUGAGACAAGAUUUGCUUUGCUCAAAAUGAUUGACUUAGAAAAAAAUGGCAAACCAAGCAGCUGAUCAUUAAGAAUCAACCGAGGAGAAUAAGCAACGGCUGUUGACAUGGUCGAAGUCCAAAGAAUUAUUGAUUCGGCCUUAAAAAAAGGCUGAAGUUUCCAAAAUUCAUUCACCCAUAUCCAGCCUUUGUAGAAAGGUUUGAGUAUCCUAAGGGAUUCAAGAUUCCAGACUUUAGCCUUUUCGUUAGAGAAUUAUACGUGUCCUCGUUAGAAUAUGUGGCUCGAUUCACUGCUAAAUGUGGAGAUGUUAACAGUGAUUUUCAUAAAUUGUUCAAUUUCUAGUUAACCGGCUCAAUGUUCGCAUGGUACAUCAACCUCCCACCAAACUCUAUCCAAAUUUGGGAGGAAUUGGUCGAGAAAUUUCAUGACCAAUUCUAUCGGCCAGGGAUGAAAAUGUCAGUUUCUUCUCUGGCUAUGAUGGCUUAAUCAUUCGACGAGUCACCAAUGGAAUAUCUUAUGAGGUUCAAAUCGGCUAAAAACUGGUGCUGAGUACCUCUCCCUGAAGUCGAGUUUGUUAGGCUUGCCCUGAAUGGCCUGGACGUGGAAUACAAAAAGAAAUUCUUGGGGGUAAACUUCUGAGAUAUGUACGAAUUGGCUCAACAUGUUAAGUAAUAUGAUUAUUUGCUUCAAGAAGAUAAAAUCUUGAAAUCUCUAACUCGAGGGACGAUCUACAAAAACCCAACGGUAAGUUAUGCAUUGGCCGAAGGUGAAGAGUCCUAAUAUGCCAGUAUAGAUGCGGCCGAGAUAGUAAUUGACAAACUAUACGUAUGCAUGGCAUUGGCCCAAUUUAAUUCCAAAGAUGUCAAAACCCGCUCAGCCCUUGUGGAAGCUGCUGUCAAAGUGUCAAAGGUUUACACUUUUGACAUCACCAAGGCUUAUGCCAUCUUCGACCAAUUGUUACUUGCAAAAAUCGUCAAGCUUCGGCCACGACAUAAUAUUCCCAAGGUCGAAGAUUUGAAAGGAAAGACGUAUUGCAAAUACCACAACUCAAACAAGCACACGAUAAAUAAUUAUGUCGUAUUUCACGACGCCAUCCAAAGCUGGAUCGAUAAUAGCAAACUCAAGUUUCCCAAGAAACCUCCAAUGGUCGUUGACGCCGAUCCUAAACCCUAAACCCUUAUCCUUCGGCGACGGUAAGCAUGGUAGAUACUUACCCAAGAACAAGAGAAAGGGAAAAGCCAAAUUCAUCCCGAUGCAAUACGUCAUUAAGUAGAAUUCUUGGUCACAAUUGAAAAUUGAUCUAUCCUCGGACGAGCCACCCAUAUACUUUUCAAACCCAGCUUAUGCCGAGUCAAUGUUAGACUCUAACAUAGAGGAAACUAACAGGCUGAUGGUUUUAUGUAGACGGUACAAAUCAUACGUCAUCAUAACUGAGCCAAAGGAAUAACCACUUUGGGCUGAAGCACCGUAACUGGCGACUGCAGUUGCAAUAACAUCUCAAAAGGUGCUCAGUGCAGGCCAACGCCAGAAAGUUUUCGAUAGGCUCGACCCUCAAACACAGAAUAACAAGCCAUCUUUGGCCAGAUGACGUAAUUUCGAAACGCCAUUUUACAAUGAAGAUUAUUAUGAGCGCAACUCUGGCAGCUCAAGUUCAUUCGUAAACCGACGAACCUUCAAGCCACCUGAGUCACGCUAUCAGCGUUGGUAUAGCUACAACUCCCCUACCAGAGCAUAUACUGAGUUGUACAAAUCGCAGAAAUGCCGCCACCAGAGAAUAGAUUGUAUGGCUCGUCGACAAGCAGCCUAGGCUACCUUAGCUUCCAAAUGGCAGUCGAAAGAAAUGGUGGGUAACAAAGAUGACCGACAACCUCCAGCAAUCAUGACUAAAUUGCUUCAAGGAAAGAAGGUAAUCGAUCACGAUUUUGAAACCAUAAUUGAAGAGUCCGAGAAGCGAAUUAAACAUCUUCCUUGGCCUAGGGAGAUGAAAGCUCGCCUCAAGCAUUUCUGAAAUAAAGUAGAACCAAACUUUCUCUGCUACCUCCAUAAGAGCCAUUAAUUAAAGUUAGACGAAAUCGCCACCCACAAUUUCUCGAUGAAGCUUUGGAAUACAUACAGGAGUUUCACAAUAAGCAUUCGGCUAAUGACUUGUACGGCCUGCCAAAAACAUGACAAGAGUCUCUUGAUCUGGCGUUAACCUGCUCCGAUGCCGAACAGAUUAUCCAAGAGUGGUUGGAUAUGGGAAUGAAGGCUAGGUUCCAACAUAUACGCGAGGCCCGAGUUCUCGGUUUUGAGGUAGAACCAUAUACUGAUAUUGAUAAUGCCGAUCUUCCUUUCUCUCUCGAUGACCUCCAAUAUCUGCGGUACCAUUUUGAAGUUUUCUUAAUCGUUUUUCUCUUCGACCUUAUGGCCGAUAAAAAAAAGUGUGGCAUGUUUAGAUGUUUACCUGGACACAAGAGACGCCCGCAUUGCAUAUUAGGAGCGGACUUGCAAGGCUUUAUAAGCAUAAGACCAAGUUCCAACGCCGAGCGAGCCAAUGGUCGAAAUUCAAAAUGAAACAGCUCCGACAAACAUAUCGCAUGAACACAUUUUCGCUACAGCUGAAGAUGGCCAAGCGAGUAAUGCCAUGAGCAAAACACCUCGCUGGAAAAUCCAGAGGACGAAGAUCACGACUUGAUGGGCCUUUCGGUCCUCGACAACAUAGAAAUCAACAUGGUUCAUGUCUUACUUGCAGAAUUCUGGCCAACCACAUCUCAAUCAAAUUUCUUGGACGAUGACGUCAUUGUUAAGGAGGCCACGCAAGUCAAUUUUCUGGUCGCCGAAGAAAUUAAGCAUAUAAGCAAAGAGGAAAAACUUAAAGCAGCUAUCGCAUAACUAUUUCCCCGUUCUUCAUCUGUUAAUUUUCAUCACUUGAAGUCGUUGUAUGUCACGGCCCAUAUUGAAGGAUACCUGAUUUCUAAAAAAAAUUUCUACUGUGGAGCAAUGGUCAACAUCAUGCAUGUUUCUAUCAUGAAAGCAAUACGUCGCUCCAAUAACGAACUCAUUCCAUCAGGGGUAACCAUGAGCAGCUUUGUCGGCGACAAAUCUCAGACUAAGGGAGUGCUUCAUUUAGAAGUGACUAUCGCAGGUCGAAAUCACAUGACCGAGUUUUUUAUAGUCGAUUAAAAAAUUGAGUAUAAUGCAUUGCUUGGUCGAGACUAGAUCCACCAAACUGGCUAUAUCCCCUCGUCAUUAUUUCAAGUCUUCAUCUUCUGAGACGCCAAACGGCUGUAUUACAUCCAAUAAACAAUUAGUUGUUCAAAGCUAAUAUGAUUCAAGUUCACUAUUAUGAUGAUCAUGUCGGCUACAUCACCCUGCAAGGUUUCAAUGAAGAAUGACAACUGACUCGGAUCUCAGUUCAGAAAGCCAUCGAGGUUGGCGCCAAGACUGUUCAGCAGGAUUUGACGAGACUUGGGUUGGUUAACCUAAUUGAUGAUCCUCAUGCCUGAUACCAAACAAGAUAAACACUGGGCUGCAAUUUCAUCCAUUAUGGAACGUCUGUUGGCCCAUUGGUGUACUAUUUAUACGCAACCGAAUUCUGGCGUGAACUUAGUAAAGUUCCUCGCCGAAUGAGGCAACAGUCCAGUCCCGUUACUUGAUAAAGUCUAAGCUACCCCAACCGAGCUCGAAAAUAGUUGGCCCCAAGUUAAAGAUCUAUUGGAUGAAGUAAACGUUCGAAUAACCGAUAACCCUCAGCAUUUAUUUGUUAGUUCUUUGCUGCCCCAACCUAUGUAAGCUGAGCUUUGUAAACUGUUCGAAGAAUUUAAAGAUUGUUUCGCUUGGAGUUACCAUAAGAUGUCUGGCCUGGAUCGAACACUUGUCGAGCACGAAUUACGAAUCAAGGUUGGUUGUAAACCUUUUUAUCAACCCCCUUUCCCGACGAUUUUCGAUCAAAGUUCAGCUUGGCAUAAAAGAUGAACUCGUUCGACUUUUAAAAGUUGGUUUUAUUCGGAUAGCUCAAUACGUCGAAUGGUUGGCGAAUAUUGUCCCAGUUUUAAAGAAAAGUGGUGUUCUGUGUAUUUGCAUUGAUUUUCGUAAUUUGAACUUGGCAACCCCUAAAGACGAAUAUCCAAUUCCAAUUUCAGACUUGCUAAUCGCUCAGCAGCAAACCAUGAGAUGUUAUCUUUCAUGGAUGACCAUGCUGGGUACAACCAGAUUUUCAUUGCUAAGGUCGCUGUCUACAAAACUGUUUUUUGUUGGCCGAGGCACUCGGGACCUAAGAAUGGGUCGUCAUGCCUUUCGAACUUAAGAACGCCAAUGCCACUUAUCAACGUGCUAUGAAUACCAUUUUUAAUGACUUGAUUGGCUUAGUUGUUGAGGUAUAUAUUGAUGAUGAUGUGGUUAAAUCGAAGCACCACCGAACAUAUUUAGAUGAUCUUCGGGGAGCUUUCCCUCGUAUGCGCAAACAUAACCUUAAAAUGAACCCUGUGAAGGAAAUUUUGUGAAAAACAUGUUCAUUUAAGCAACAUCUAUAGCAUGCAAUUAACAAUUAAAAGGCGGAAUCAUGCUUGCAUGCACUCAAAAACAAAACAUUAACCAUGAAAUUCAAAGCCUAGUAGAUUGGUGAACCUUGACUCAACUUAAAACAACAUUUGUUAGUUGAGAAAUUAUACCUUUGUAGAUUCCUCUUUGCAUAAGCAAAGGCUAAUCACCCAAAGAGAGGGCCUUCAUUCCUUGCAUCUUAGAUCUAUGGAUUUGGAUGGAUGAAAUGGUUCUCCAAGUUCCCAAAAUUGAGAACCUUUAAGUCUCUUCACCAAGGUUAGAUUGGAGAAGAAAUGAGUGACCUUGGAGUAGUAGGAUUGCUAGCUAAACCCUCCAAGGAGGCCGGCCACUUUAGAGAGAAAUGAGAGCUUAUGUUCUCAUCCUUUCCCCAAAAGAAAACCCUAAAUGAAUUUUGGCUAUAAAGUCAUAUUUAUACCUUAAUUCAUUGGAGUGGCAAACUUGUAAAUAAGUCCAAAACUUACUCCAUCUCUAAAUGGCCGGCCUUAGGGUAUUAUUGGGCUAAUUGGGCCUUUGUGAAUCUUUAUUCAUUAAGUUGUCAUACAACUUAAGUCAAUGGGCUUGACGUUUGAAGCCCAUUGGGCCUUAAGGUCCAAAACUAUCCCGAGGUCUUUAACGAACUUAUUCGUUUGAUUAAUUAACAUAUUAAUUAAUCCUUGCCAUAAAUAAUUAAACCAUUUAAUUAUUCUUACUCAUCUCCAUUGUUUCUUCAAUCUCCACCUUACACGGUGUACGAUCCAUUAGGUUCCUUUUAGCGAGGCAAUGAGCGAUUAAAACCAUUUCAAAUCGAUUGUGAAUUGAAACUUACUUUCAAUUCUCCUUUUAGUGAUUAUACACAUUUAGGGCUUCCACAAACCAUGAGUGACACCUAGCAGCAUAUCAUGGUUACCCAAGCUAAUCAGAAGAGGUGGAGAACCUAUUCAGUUUAGGAUUACAAAUGCAAUACGGUCUUUCUCUAAUACAAUACUCUUGACCACAUUGUUUGGUUUGAUAGUUUAUUCAUGUCUACUAUCCAAUGUGAUUCAUGUGCUUAUAUGAUUACCUUGAAUGUGAUUUGGAAUGACUUCCUAAAUCUCAUUCAUACUCUGGCCAGAGAUUCUUAAUCAUAUCAUAGAGUAUUCUCCCCCAAACGGUUUGAAGGUUAGAGAUCCCUUGUUGCGCAUUCACUUGCCUCCAUGGCUAAGUGGCUUAACCCCGACGAUGCCGUGGACACCCGCGGAUUGGGUGACUUUGACAUAAUCAAAGAUCAAGUACCUAACCACAAGACAACUAUGAUGCCUCAGGUUAAAGGACUACUUUGCAUUAUUCCAACCAUGAGUUGUCAUGUGACAUGAGUAUGAGAACUCUUCGUUGAUCGUGUUCAGUGAACUCAUUCCUUAUUGAGCACCUACGUACUUGUCUUGGUGUCAGUCACACCAAUGACUCGAGACCAGUCACUCUCACUGAGAGAAGACACAGCCCGUACUGAUCUUAACGGACUGUCAAUGCCCAAUUGGCAAUCCUAUGAUCAGGAACGUUUAGGAUGUGUCUACGAAAGAAUGGUCUCAUGAAUCUAACUUCUUUAGAUCGCAUUCUCCCAAUCACAUAUUCCUUGAACUUAUCGUUUAAGCGUAUAACAUUUAUAUGAGACGGCUCAAACAAUAAUCUUUGCCUUUGAUAUUAAACUAGAUUAGUUUAACAUGUGAAAUGUCCGUAAAGUAUCAUCAUAUGAUUGGUUUUAGGGCACAUUUCCAACACCCUGCCAAAUAUGCCUUUAGUGUAUCGGCAGGCAACUUCUUGGGUUUCCUUGUAUAUCAUCAUGGCAUCGAGGUAGAAGAGAAUAAAGCUCGAGCGAUCAUUGAUGCUCUACCACCAACAACCAAGAAGCAAUUACAGUCCUUACUCGACGUAAUCAAUUUCCUCCACCGUUUCAUUUCUAACUCGGCGAGGAAAAUGGGUGAUUUUUCCACGCUCUUGAAACUUAAGGAUUCUAACAAAUUUGAAUGGCGCGAAGAACAUCAUGACGUUUUUGUGUAAAUCAAGGUCUCCCUCACCACCCCACCUGUCCUCGUGCCACAUCGACAUGGUAAACCUCUUAAGUUGUAUAUCCCGGUUGCCGAGGAAUUCAUUGGUUGUCUUCAUACGCAAGACAACGACACUAGGCAGGAGCAGGCCAUUUUUUAUCUUAGCCGAAAUCUUAACUCAACUGAGAUAAAUUACUUAGCCGCCGAGAAACUCUGUUUGGCUUUGUUAUUUGUUGCGUCUAAACUCAGGCAUUACAUACUCCCUUCUAUUACUCAGGUCAUCGCCCAAACAGAUGUUAUUUGUUAUAUGCUCACUCGGCCGAUAGUAAAAGGCCGAAUUGGGAAAUAGACAAUGGCGUUGUCCAAAUUUAGUUUGCAAUAUGUGCCCCAAAAAAUCGUCGAAGGACAGGCGCUGGCCAAUUUUUUAACUCAACAUCCUUCUCCAUACAGUUUUAAGGGCAACGACGUCGAAAUUGGCAUGGUGGAAACACGUGAUAUUUAUUGGAUGAUGUAUUUUGAUGACUCUAGUACCUCGACCUUGGCUGACGUUGGAAUCGUCAUCCAAUCCCCUGAUCGUUACCAAUGGUAUUUUUCUCUCAAGUUGGAUUUUGAUUGUACAAACAAUCAAGCCGAAUAUGAGGCCCUCGUCAUCGACCUUACUUGAAGGCAGCCCAUGUGCUCGUCCUCAGCGAUUCAGAACUUGUGAGUAACCAACUCAAUGAGACUUUUCGUUGCAUUAGUUGUACUUUCGCACCCUAUCAUAUGGUUACCAAUUAUUUAGCUGAAUCAUUUGCAGACAUUACGUUUAAGCACAUUUUGCAAGUUCGAAAUACUGACGCGGACAAGUUAGCUCAAAUAGCCUUUGGAGCACAAUUCUUGAGGGUGAACUAGGUCGGGUCAUACCAGUGGUGGACAUCUACACCCGGCCUUGGUUAAUCAACAAGUUCUCUAGCAUGACCACGUAAUCUGUACAUGAGUUAUGUCCCUACCUUCGUUGUUCGAACGAGAGGAUCCUAUGGAUAUAUGCACGGUCUAGACAUUACCAGACGACUGGAGAAGAUUAAUCAUGCAAUAUUUUGAUAAUCCCAGUGGUAAACACGACCGCAAGACAAGGGUACACGCCACAAAUUACAUAAUGUACUAGAAUGUACUAUAUCGAAAAGGUGAAGACAAUCUGUUAUUAUCGUGCCUCGGCCCAGAUGAGGUUGCCUAAGCUAUUGCAGAGGUACACAAAGGAAUAUGCAUGGCUCAUCAAUCCGGACGUAAAACACGUUGGUUGCUCCGCCGACAUGGUUAUUUUUGGCCGAGUAUGUUAAAAGAUUACAUUGAAUACGUGCAAGGUUGUGUACAAUGUCAAAUCCAUAGGCCCAUACAAAGGGUCCUAACCGAAUUACUUCACUCGAUCACUAAGCUAUGGUCGUUCAGAGGAUAGGCCAUAGAUGUAAUCGGUAAGAUGACGCCGUCUUCCGGAUCGGCAAAGCAUGCAUGGAUACUUGUAGCGACCGACUACUUCACCAAAUGGGUCGAAGAAAAAUCAUACGCCAAGUUAACAUCUAAAAAAAGUUUGCAAUUUUGUAGAAGAAAACAUCGUGACGAGAUUUGGCAUACCAGAAACAAUUAUAACGGACAACGGCACGAUUUUUACAGUCGACAGGUUUAAAGAAUACACAGCAAGUUUGAAAAUUCGGCUUGAACAGUCCACACCAUAUUACCCAUAAGCAAACAGAUAGGCCAAAACAAGUAAUAAAGUUCUAAUGGGUAUCCUUGAGAAAAUGAUAAAAGAAAAGCCUGGUAUGUGGCAUUUGAAGUUAAAUGAGGCAUUAUGGGCAUAUCGAACUUCACUCCAAUCAGCAACAGGGACGACCCUAUAUGCGUUAACUUAUGGACACGACCCGAUGCUACCAGUCGGGCUAAGCAUCAACUUGUUAUGAGUUAUUGAACAAAGCAGUUUGUUUAGUGCCGAGUAUAGUCAGGCCACAAGGCAAGAGUUGGAGGAUUUGGAGGAAGCUCGGCUCGAUGCCUAUAACUUACUAGAGGCGUAGAAAAAGAUUGCCUUAUGAGCUUAUAAUCGAUGAGUUAGGCAAAAGACAUUUGAUGAAGGUGAGUUAGUGUGGCACCGUGUUAUCGGCAGGGAUUCAGGAUUCCAUAUUCAGGAAAUGGUCGCUGAAUUGAGAAUGCCCAUUCAUUGUCAACAAAGUUCUUGACAAAGGGGUAUACCACCUCAAGGAUCGAACUGGUUUAAUUCAUAAAUUAUCGAUCAAUGAGAAAUUCUUAAAGAAAUAUCAUCUGGUCACUUAGGAGACGCAAGAAUAAAGGAUUGAUUUCAUUAAUUUUCAAAAGGCGUACACGCAAAAUUACAAAAAGAAAUCGACCAGCCUACAAGCCGGCACACAAAAAUUCCUAAAGAGUCAAAUGAAGAAAAGCUUGAAGAGCGGCUUUCAGUUCCAGCCACUUCACUUCACCUAUUGUGACCUCGGCCUGUCGUGUUCUUUUGUCAGCCUUUAAUUGCUUUAUUCGUUUCGUGCUAGCCGCGUACUCUGCUAGUCGAGGUUUGUUCAACUCAAAAUCCUUUUCAAGCUCAGAAGUAACAACCAACCUCUGAAGAUGAAGUUCGACGAUUUAAUGAUCAAGGUUAGCCAAUCUCUCAUUCUUUGCCUUUAUUACCUGGAGCUCUGGUCGGAUAGCUUCGUGAGUGACCAUUGCAGCCUUAAAGUUGUCUUCUGUCCGAAGAGCCUUCUCGAAAGUAGUGAAAUAUUAUAGAGUUCUUUCUAGGACAGUUGAUAAAUGAACGACACUCUCGUUGCUCUGCAAGUUGUCGGCUGUAAGGUCGUUCAAGCACUCUCCCACAGAGUCGAGACCUUUGCGUUAGAGGAUUUGUGAGGCCGGGAGAGACAGAAGUUCCUGCAGCUUGGCGAGGGCGUUAAACUUGGCCGUGGUUACAGAAUGCCCAAUCGUCCCCGAAGUGCUGGAGAGAAAUGCAUCAAGCUCAACUUCCCAUGAAGGCUACACAAAAAAGAUUUGUUAGAGAAAAGAGAAUUAAAAAAGAUGGCAGAGAAAGAAGUUGUGUUAGACCUGCCGAGAAAAGACUCCAGCCAUGUUUACUGGUUCGUUGGUUGAACCCAGAGAGCUUAAUGGCCAAGCUUAGUGUUUAAGGCAAGUUUUCAAUUCAGGUAGCCGAUGAAGGUUAUCUACGUUUGAUGGCCACUGGGGUGGCUAGGAAAUAUAGAUAACGCAUUUCGGUGCAUAUAAUUUUUGGUGAAAUGAGCGAUUAGGCACCUGGCAUUUAAUGUUUUUCUUGGUUUAGAGUUCUAAGGCAGGAAAUUAAUAAAAGACAAUGAUGAUGAGUCUUACAAAGGUCGAAGUGACCUCCUAAAGAGGGAUACCAAGGUUCUGGUCCUAGGAUGAACAUGUGUUUUUGCCGUUGCUUCUGGUUUAACAGAAGAUGUCGCUUCAUGUCCCGGACGUACUUCGGCCGCUUGGGGGUCGACCUGGCCAACCACCUCGACCGCCGGUUAGAGAUCACCUAAAGGGGAUGCGACAACUUUACCUUUGUCCAGAGGCAAGAGACUUGUAGUAGGUGGUUCAACUCGUCGAAGGCACCUCACCAGCAAAGGUACUUUGUUCUCGUUCUCCUAAUCAUAAAAAAUGAUUGUUCGUUAGUCAAUAGAUCUUAUCAAAAUGAAAGGAGAACAUUAUUAAGGGAAAUUGCCAUACCUCUUCUUCUAUGACUAUCACUGGAUUAUUCUUUGGAUUGGGGGAAAGGUUUCUCUCGACCGUGGUUGCCGCAUUCUCCAGAGUAGCAGCAGCUAGGCCCUAAUCAGCAGGGGUAAUGGCCGGCUCCAGGGACCAUUGAGGCGACGACUAGUUCAACUUCAACAGCAAUUUGCAUGAUGGGUCAAACCUUGACCGUCUGGUCUAUAGUUGGGGUCAAAAGGUUUUGCGGUCCCUUUAUCGAAACUUGGAUAGCAAGAGAAUGAGGAGUGAUACUAUGAGUGGUUGCUCUUAUGGUCUGACUUGAAAUAACAUAAAUCUCCCCAUCUCCGUUCUUUGCCUUUUUCUUAAUACGCUUUUAGGGUUGGGCAACGUUACCAGUUGUCUCGAUCUCCGGGCGAGACUGUUUGCUCGAUGCAAUUGGCACAGCAGUGGCCAUUAUUGUAGUUAGGUUGGUAGUCUUUUCGGCUAAGGGAGUCACGAUAGUUGCAAUCUUUUUUUUAGGAGGAGUAAGUUUCUUUUUUACUGCGACCAUCCUAACCACAUCGACCCGUUGUAUUGCACGACCACCUGGGAAAAGCUAAGCCUGAGUCAAAAUGAAGUUUGAAUAUAUGAACAAUGAAAUAAAAUAUAUAUACCUUGAGCUGUUUCUUUGGAUUUUGGAGCAAGAAUCUUCUUUGGUAGAUCGCCAAAAAGUUUUUUUGAAAUUUCCUCGGCCAAAGUACCAAAGAAAUGCUUGAUAUAAGCAUCCCACCAAUUGGUGAAAGUGCUGGUACUAUGGGUUUUUGGAGUAUUCAACUGAAUGUGGAAUUUGGUACAUUGCUCUUGAAAUUCUUACUCGGUUUCCUCGCAUUCCCUCUCCAAGUAGCCCGAGAGGCGUUUUCGACUCAAAAGUGAGCAAGAGUUUAGGAGUGGCAUAUGAUAGCCCUAAAGAAAGCCCAAUUAACUUGCCACUAAGUUAGGAUGGUAGACUUCCCAACUAGCUCGUUGAGCAUCGCAACCAAAAGAAAGGUCGCGAGCUAGGGUAAACAACCCUCAUGACUGUCAAAGGUUGGUUUCCUCUGUUUCUUCCCAUGCCGAUGUUGGGAGUUUGAUGGAAGACGAAUAUUUCUGGUGGCGGCAGAUCAGAAAUUUGUCAUUUGAUAGAUCUUCAAGGCUGAAGAAAUACUUGAAGAUGUCUUCGGCCGAGUGUGUAGGAAUGGGGCACGAGGUUAGUUGAAGACCCAUCGCUUUAGAAGAGUUGAAGCUUGGGAUUUCUGGCCUCAGCUUGGAAAAGUAAACCUGUAGCCAAAGUUGGAAGACCUAGAGUGGGCUGUUCUAGUGUGGAUCGAUCUUCCCAACAGAAGCCUCAACCAAGCACCGGUUAAGGUUGGUGAGGAUGGCCGGGCUGAGGGCCAAGACAUGGUCGUUAGCCAAAGCUUCGACCACUGACAUAUUUUCGGCCAAGCACUUGUUUGAAGGGAAAACUAUGAGAUUCAUGUAUGGGAUUUCUAAAUGACUAUCAUGCAUAUCCAAAACAAUUUUGAUAUACGAAAGCAGCGGAAGCAUUUAUAACAUAUUAUCAAAGCUAUAGUCAUGCAAAUCCCCUUCAAAGUUCAUAGGUUUAUAUAUAAUGCAUCAAAUAAAAUUUAAGAGAAAAAGAACAAAGUGAAGGUUUAGUCUUAUACCUCUUGAUCUAGACUUGAGACCAAGGAUGGACCACCUCCAAGCCCUUUGUUCCUUGAACUCCUUGAGCCUAGCUUCCUUCCUUGCCUCCUCCACUUUGUUACAAUGAGUGCUCCUAGGUUCUCUUCAAGUUCCCAAAGUAGGAAACCUCUAAAGAUCCUCACCCACUAGUGUAGUGAGAAGGAUGAAGGAAUAACCAAAAGGGUGAAAGAUUGUUAGCUAAAUCACCCUCUUUGGUGGCCGGCCUUUGUAGUGAUUUUAGAGAGAUAUUCUUUUGCCUCUUUGUUGUUUUAACAACACAAAAACCCUAAUGAACAAUAUCUCAUAAAGUUCCUUAUAUAGACAAAAGAAACCUAGUCAACACUUGACCAAAUAUCUCACCCUUUCCACCUUAAAGUGGCCGGCCUCUUUGUUGUUUGUUUGGGCUUUGGGCUUUCAUUAUUUCAAGUCAUCCAAUGCUUGAAUAAAAGCCCAAUGGGUUUAGGCCCAAUGGACCCAAUUAAACCCGAACGUUUCUUAAGCCCAAAACGAUCUUUAUCGCUUUUAUGAUUUCUUUAGACUUCUAAAUUAAUCACAACAAUUAAUUAAUCCAAUUAAUUAUUUCCAUCAUCCAUUAGUUACUCACUACAAUAGUGUAUUGGUGAACAAUCUUUUAGGUUCUAAUUAGCAAGGCAGUGAGGUGAUUGGCACCAAUCCAAUUUAAUUCAAUCACUUAGUGAAUUGAAACUUCAUUUCAAUUCACCUUUCUUCUUUGAUGACUACAUUUAAUCAUCUAGAAGAACUCACAAGCUAUGAGUAACAUCUAACCAUAUGUCAUAGCUACCCAAGCUAAUGUAGAAGUUUAUUCGGAGAACCUAUUCAGUUGGAAUUACAAUGUAAUUCGAUCCUUCUCUAAUACAAUACUCUCAAUCACAUCAUUAGGGUAUGGAUAUAUUAUGUCAAACCCCUAAUGUGAUUAUUCCUUCUUAUAUGAUUCAAUUGAGUCGUAUAGGAACGCUUUCCUUUAUUACGCUCGAUACUUCGGCCAAAGAUUCCCGAAUCAUAUCUUAAAGUAUUCUUCCUCUCUUAUCGAGGAUUAGAUAUUCCUUGUUGCGCAUACACUUGCCUUCAUGACUAAGUGGCUUAACCCCAAUUAUGCCGUGGACACCCUCGAAUGGGGAGACUUUGACAUAAUCAAAGAUUAAGUACUUAACCACAAGACAACGACGAUGCCUCAGGUCUAAGGAUUACUUACAUCUUUCCAACCAUUAAAGUUACUUGCUUGACAUGUGAGUAGACCUCCAUGCAAGUACUCUCGUUCGAUUGUGUUCAGUGAACUCAUUCCCCUAAUGAGCACCUACAUACUUGUCUUAGUGUCACAACACGAAUGGGAUGAGACUUUCCAUCCUUCCAAUUGAAGCAGACACAGUAUGUACCGGUUUACGCAUUGUCAGUAUCCCUCCGACAAUCCAACGACCAGGAACCUUUUUUGGACAUUUGGUUAUGUGAAGAAGGUCUCUGUAGUCUAACAUCAUUAGAUUACUUCUUCAAUCGAUCCACUGUCCAUGGAUACACUAUUUAGGACAUAUAUCGUUUAUUGAGAUAGUCCUAAUUCGUGUCUUUGCCAUUUGAUGUAUAAGAAUCAUCCAUACAUCAAUUCAUUUGUCCUGAAAGGUUUCUUCCAAAGAUUGACUUUCAGGGCAUAUUUCCACCAUUGUUCGACUUAGUACAAAAGAUGAAUUUAUUGUACCAGUAAAACAAGAAAGCCUCGUGCUCUUCUUUCUUGAGAUCUUUCUUCUCUGAACCAUCAAAGUGGUUGAUUAAGGUGUUGUAGUUGAAGAAAUUUUUGUGCAGUUUGUGCAUAUCUUCUUUUGAUAGCUUAUGAUCCUUAUUUGUCAAAACCUCGACGGCAAGAUCGUCGAAGACUGCUUUCAGAUCCAGAUCGAACUGAUACAGAGAAAGAUUGGUAUCAAUUGGGAGAUCAGAGGGAGAAGUGCCUAGUAUGGAUGUGAUGUCCAGCACGGUUAGCUCAAUGGGAUCGAGAUAAAGAACCAUAAUGUGGGUGGCCCAACACCAGAAGCUCAAGGCGGCCAUCAGGAGCUCUCGAUCUAUGUUGAUUUGAAAGGUCGAGAGUUUAAUAGCGUCAAAGGUGCCGAGAGUUUUCCAUUCAUCACCAAAAUGUGGCUCCAUUCGGGUGACCUAAGUAGCCCAAGUCACUGGUGUCGAGGGCCAGGGUCCUUAAGGUUUGGUCGAUUCCCACUUCGACCAAUCAUACCUUUGGAAUAAGGGUUUUAGGCAGUCUGCCUUCAGCAUUGCGUUGAUGAUUUCUAGGAUGUUGUCCUUAAAGGGUGGUCCCAGAAUCUGGUGAGUAGUGUUUGAAUCACCCUCAAAUCGAAGGGUUUUGAUGGCACUCCGAUCGAUGAAGUCUUGGCAUUUGUUGCAUUCCUCGGUGAGCUUAGUGAGGAAAGAAUUGGAGGCCAUUGAUGAAGGUUUGGUGUGUUUCUGGGUUUCGAGGUUUGAGUUCUUUUUCUGGGUUGGGAGCAAAUGGCAAGAAUUUCUAAAGGUUGAAAGCAUGAAAGUUCGAAUUAAGCUGGGCAAAAUUUUUAUAGGCAAUUGGGAGAGAAGAUCAACUGUUUAGGUUUAAGAGAUGAAGGGCAAAUCCGACCGAAGAAUUUCAUAAUCAUAACGAAUAUCUUGAAAAUCCAGGUGAAGAGGCCGAAAAGCAUGCGAAUUGAGGUUGCACGAUUGUGUGUAAUGAUGAAGUUUAUGAAGAAUACAUGUUUCGGUGUCUGCACGCCUUGAACGUGGGGGUACUCAUUAUUGAAGAUGGACAGUCAUGAUGAAGAGCUGCCACGUGUCAAGAAAACUUACAGAAGUGAGAGGUCGUGCUUAAUAAAUAUGUUUGGGUGGUUAGAGUAUUCGAGGUUUGCAAUGUUCUCUGGUUUUUCUAGAAAGAAUAUGCUAAGGGUUUAUUAUUUGGCAAUGAAUCACUUCUUCAAAGUCGAGGCUCUGCCAGGAAUUGUAGGCCGAAGACCUCAGAAGUGAGAAGGGCAAUGUUUGGGCCUAAAAUAAUAUUUUGGGCCGAGCUUAGAGUUUUUCUUGACCUAGUAACAUUCAUCUAGAAUCUUUUCAUAGGUUGUCCAGUCAAGGUCGACCGAAUCCUAUUGCUAGAAAGCCUGGUUUAGAUAAGGGUGAAGUAGUAGAACCCUAGUGCAACAAGGAGUCUUAAAGCUGAAGCUGCUUAGAAUUAGGGGAUGAAUCUGAUUCAUUAAAGAGCUUGGUUCAAAGUCCUAUAGGGGAAAUGAUUGGUUGAAACCUGAUCAAAUUGGGUUGAGGAGUUAUAAUCCGAGUACAUUUCUAGUUCGGCCAUGAGGAAGGUUCGCUGCUAUAGAUAGAGAAAUGAGUGCAUCAUUCAAGGACUCUUCAAAUUAACACACAAAUUGCUGUGCGCAGAACUUCUCAACAACCUUGAGAUUUUUUCAUCUCCCAUUUUCUUCCUGCCGAUGACAUCUUCAGUUUGGAUAAACAGCAUUGGAGCUGUAGAAUCAACCGGCCAAGGAACACCUCCAAUUUGAUAAACAACACUACUUCGAGACCGAUUGGUUAUUAUCCAAGUCUCGGUUAACAAGGAUUUCGAAGUCCUUGUUGGUAGAGGUCAUCUCAUCAACCUUUUUGACGAAGUGAGGUGUUACCAGGUUACUAGGCUUAGCACAUUGAAAGCCGAGUUUUAUUUUAUGAUUGGAUAUUCACAAGUACAUUUUAGAGUUUGGCAUUCCGACGACCGAACCACUUUUACAAUCAAGACAUUUAUCUCUUUUGAGUAUUUGUGUCUGUACAGUUUGGUGCCAGUUCGGCGUACUUAUACUUUCACGAAUAUAAUUACCGAGACUGAACCCAGCGCUGAUAAUUUGUGAACUUCAAAGAGAUUAGCAGUCUUGUCUUCAAGCUCUAGAAUCCAAAGGCUAAGACAUGUUCCUUCCUCGGCCAUAGUCGCAAGAUCAAGAAGUCAAAACUCGGCCAAUGAGUUGGCAAGCCAUGCACACAACCGAAUAACGUAGUUAGCUUAUUAGUUACUCGGCAUGUGCGCCAUGUAGGCUUGGUAGUUUUUAGGGUCAACACAUACAUCAACUAAACACUCAAGACAUCCAUACCUUAUAUUGCCAUCCAAACAGGCGCUGAAUUGCCUCUGUGAGUCUUCCCGACCCCCAGAAGAGGUGGAUAACCGUAGCUUGCCACCAGCUGUCUUUCUUAAAAACAAUAAAAAUAAAUAAGCGCUGAAUUGCCAUUCAAACAGGCCCUAUAGUGCAGUGCAACCUACUAACUACUAAGGUGCCACUAAAACAAACAAUACUUAUCAAAUUCAAAAACCAAGAUUCACGUAUUGGGUCAACAGACAUAAGUACCAUGGACCAUACUACCUAGCAGACGGCAUUUAUCCAAAGUGGACAUCGUUUGUCAAAACAGUGCCACGUCCACAAAGUGAAAAGGAAAAACACUUUGCAAGCUGUCAAGAGGGGUGUAGGAAGGAUGUGGAGCGUUGUUUUAGUAUCCUCCAAGCUCGUUGGGCGAUUGUCAAGGGUGCUGCCAAUACAACCCGAAGUGAUUGCAAAAUUAUAGGCUCCGAUUAAAAACAAAUUCCCUAGUCCCUCGUGAAUGGAAAAUCAUCACUUAACCAAUUUGUGGUGCUAUGACCAUCUCCUUUUGCUCUCGCUUCUCUUGCAGGCCUCUUUAGCAUCACGUUCGCUUUCUUUGAAUUCUAAAAAUAUUUAGAAUUCGGAAACAUUGCCUCUUCAGGCUCCUUCAUAAUGCCACAAUCUUGUUGAGCCCUUAUUUCUUCAUUAAGCUCUUCCCUUUCUUGCCUAAGUAGAUCUCUUUCUCUCUCAUUAGCUUGAAAUAACCUCUUACCAGCUACAUCUUUUGCCUCAUCUCUAGCCUUAUCAGCCUCAAAUUUAGCCAUUUCCCAUGCCAAAGUCAAUUCACCUUGAUGAGCAAGUUCUUCCAUAUAUUUUGCAUAAUCUUUUUGGAAGCAGUCCAUUUUCUCUUUGAAGCCUUUUUACCUUGAGGCCUAAUUGGAUAACGGGUGGACCCCGACCCUUGUUCAAGGAUCACUUCCGGCAUUUGUUCUAUGUCGCUUUCAUGAACAUGUGAGUCAUGAUCUGGAGUAUAAUGUAUAUGGGUGUUGUUCAUGACAACUUCUAGACCGACAGACACAACUUUGAAUUUAGGACAAUUUUUACAAUAUUCCAACAUUCCCAUCUGGUGUAUGAUUUAUUUAUUUAUUUUUUUUUGGCAUUAUACCAAGCUUGUGCUUGAAGUGUCUACACAAUGCAGAAGAAGAAAUAAUUAUAAUUAAAGUAGCUAAUGUAAAUUUGGGUAUAGUACAAACAAAUAAAUAAUAUAUUGUUACCUGAUCCAUGAAAUUUUCUCCAUUUCGAAAAUUACUACUAGCUUGUGUCAAGGCGUUUCUCCAAUGAGUAAACGAUUGGCAGAGUAUUCUCCAACGACUGGACAUUGAUUCUUUCAUUCUUUUCUCACCAAUUUCCUCAAGAAAAAAUGUAUGAAUAAGACUCUACAUUUCUCGCAACUGCAUCUCAUUAGCUGUAAUCGGAUCAUGAGUAACUUCAACCCAGCUAGAACACAAUGUAACAUCUUCAAUAAGCAUCCAAUUCGUACCUGCAUCAUUAGUCAUUUUGUUGGAAACCAGUUGGAUUGAAACUUUGAGAGAAAGAUUGUAGUGUGGUUGAAAGUGUUUAUACCAUAUUUAGGGCCUCGUAUUUAGACCUCGUAUAAAUACUCGAGGGACUUAAAUGUAAUUAUGUGAUAAAGGAAGGGGCAAAUAUAUAAUAAGUGAGGAGUCCUUAUUCUAUAAAAUGAUCCCUCACCCUCACAAUUAGGGGAGGUCAACUUUUAGGCUUGAAACCCUCUCACAUCCCCUCUUAUAUUACAGAGGCUCUCUCCCUCACCUCUCAGAUAAAUACAUAAUCAGUGUGGACAUAGCCCAAACCUUGGGGUGAACCACGAUACAUCUUGUGUUAUUUACUUUACUUACAGAUUCACGGUUGGAUUUACGUUGUUCCAAGACCUCCGGUUUUGUGCAUCAACAUUUGGCGCCGUCUGUGGGAAUCGAUACGAAAAGUUGUGUCGGUUCUCUUUCAUUUUUUCAUAUCCGCCGUGAAUCUGCGAAAUCACAGAAACCCAGGAACCAUAGUCACUGCAAAACCCAUAUCUCAAAAUGCAGAAAUGAAAACUCUGAAACUCAACCACAGUUUUCUUUCUUUCUCUCUCUCUUGUUUCUGGGGUUGUGUGCUUUUUAGUCAUUGAGAUCUACAUCAAGAUGGGUUGUCCUGUUUUUUCCCACCUCGCUGAAAAAAAAAAACAAAACGAAAAAAAAACGGUAAGCCCAAAAUAAUGGGCUGCAAUGUCAUAUGGAGGAUGAAGGCCCAUAAGCCCAAAAUAGCACCAACCAAGCGACCAAAAGUACGCCCAGUACUACCAAAAUUAUUCGGCAACCUGCCGAUAUUACCAUCAACCAGGUGAUCAAAAAUACGCCCAGUACUUUAAAUUAUACAUGAGCAUUAUUCAUGUCAUUCAUACAUAAACAUUCAUGAGCAUCACUCAUGACAAUCAUACAUAAACAUUCAUAACCAUCAUUCAUGUUAACAUUCAUGAGCAUCACUCAUGACAACAUCCAUGAGCAUCACUCAUGUCAAGCAACAUAAACAUUCAAGAGCAUCACUCAUGUCAAUCAGCUUCAAAAGCUUCAUUUACAGAGCUCUAGCUUCAAAAGCUUCAUUUAUAAAAGCUCCAGCUUCGAAAGCUUCAUUUAUAGAGCUCUAGCUUCAAAGCUUCACUUGCAAAGCUUCACCUACAAAGCUUCAAUGCAGGGUAUACAAAUACAGCCUCCGAACAACCGCUACUUCGGCCCAUACAUAGAUUCAAUUUGAAGUAUCUAGCCAACAGACUCUAUUGACCGAAGACUUGGGGGAUUACAUUAUGUACCAUAUAUUGGGCCUCAACUGGGCCUCAUAAAAAAUACUUUGCGGACUCUAGCCAUCACUUAUGUAUUGAGGAACAAGCCCUUAUUUUAUUAAAAAUGACUCCCUCACCAUCAUUAGAGAGCAUCGCCGCCUACUGAGCAACCGCCUUGCCGCGAGCAUCAACUCUAGCCCAUAUUUAUGUAUUGAGGAGUGAGCCUUUAUACUAUAAAAAAGACUCCCUCACCUUCAAACGCCACAAGCCGAGCCAACCAAGGCAACAUAAGCCACGAGCCGAGCAGCCUCGUAGCGUGUGCUACUUCUAGUUGAGCGUCAUUUCAGAUUGAGCACUGCCUCAUAUCGAGCAUCAGUUCAAGACAGCAUCUAGUUACUUCGGCCCACACAUGGACUGAAUUUCAAGUCUCCAGUCAAAAGACUCUCUUGACUGAAGACUUGGGGGACUACUGUUUAUACCAUAUUUAGGGCCUCGUAUUUGGAGCUCGUAUAAAUACUCGAUGGACUUAAAUAUAAUUAUGUGAUAAAGGAAUGGGCAAAUAUGUAAUAAGUGAGCAGUCCUUAUUCUAUAAAAGGACCCAUCACCCUCCCAAUUAGGGGAGGCCAACUCUUAGGCUUGAAACCCUCUCACAUCCCCUCUUAUAUUACAGAGGCUCUCUCCCUCACCUCUCAGAUAAAUACAUAAUCAGUGUGAACGUAACCCAAACCUUGGGGUGAACCACGAUACAUCUUGUGUUAUUUACUUUACUUGCAGAUUCACGGUUGGAUUUACGUUGUUCCAAAACCUCCGGUUUUGUGCAUCAACAGAAAGUAUUUAAGAAAAUAUGAAAUUAUGGUGUAAGGUAGAAAAUAAUGAGAAUGUAUUUAUAGAAAAGUAAAAUCUUUUUAUUUUUUUCGGAUUUUUUAUUAAUUUUUAACAUUUUUAUUAACUUAAUUUAUUUAUGCCGGUGGAUUAAAAAAAAUUAAAUCCAAUCCUUCAAAUUGUGCCACGUGGCACAAUGAUAAUAUAUCUAAUUUUUUUUCCUUUUUAAAAAAUUUUUAAAGGUGAAUAACGUGGACCAUUAAUCUGAAAUUCAACGACUGAUAUUGUGUCACGUCAUCUAGCCGUUUAGGGGAAGUUUGAAAUUUUUUUUACCGUUGGAAAUCCAACUGUCCAUAAAAAGUAUCCGUUGAAAUCCAACGGACGAGAAGGUCUCACCUGCCCAAGGAAACAGUAACAAUUCAGACACCAUUCGCCGGAAUGUCGACCGCCACCGAUUUACAGCUACAUCCAGGCUAGAGGUUCGAUCGGACGGACGAGGAACUCGUGAACCACUAUUUCUGCCGGAAAUGAAGUCGCCGUUGACUUCUUUCCCGGUGAUCGCCGCUAUCGAACUCUACCAUUACAAACCCUGGGAUCACCCCGGUAAAAUUUCCCCCAAAUUUUCGUCAAAAUCUAAUUUCGAAAUUAAAAUUUGGGGUUGUACAGAUUUCUUCAUUUCUAUGUAUUUGUAAGCGAUUUCUUGUAAUUAAGUUGUUUUAAUGAUUAAUUAAUUUAUAGAUUUCUUACGAUUCUUCCUUAUUUCUUAAUGUUUUAGGGAUAUCUUGUCUAUUUAAUUAUGUUAAUUUAUUUGCGGUGCAGUUUUGACGCUAGACGGAGAGAAAGAGUGGUAUUUCUUUACGCAAAGGAACCGGAGGUACAAGAACGGUUCGAUGCCGAACAGGGCGGCCGGAAGUGGUUAGUGGUACGCGAGCGGAUGCAAGAAGUUGAUUGGGCAUCCGAAAUCGCUGGGGUCCAAAGGCCUUUGGUGUUCAAAAUCGGAAAACGACCGGGAGGCGAAAAGACUAACUGGCUUAUGGACGAGUACAGCCUCGCCGCCGGGAACCGCCCGACUGAGAAGAAGAAAGGCCAAUGGGUACACUAACCUCUCUCUCUCUCUCUCUCUCUCUCUCUCUCUAAACAAUUAGUCCAUUGCAAUUGCAUGGCCGCGAGAGUUCAAUUAGUCCAUUGGAAAAUUGAUUUAAAUUUUGCGACGGGCACGAAGGGUAUUAGCAUAAUUGUCAGGAAAUUAGUAAAUUUCAGCACCCAAACCAACACGUACAAUCCCUUCAAAGAGAAAGUUAAGUCAAAUUCUACAUGAUUCAGUACUUCACCUGGGAGGGUAAGAUCUAACGUUGGUUAAGAUAUAAUUAAGUCAAGGAUUAAUCAUUAAAGCAAGGGGAUAAAAGAUAAUCCCACAAUACAAAGAAGCCUAGAAGGGCAGCUUUCCACAUAAACUUGCAAUUGUCUAAAUUGCUUUCCGGGAAUCAUAUCAUUCACCACUAGUCACAAAAAAAGAUGAAUGAAUGAUGCUGCCCUUUUAGUGGUUUUAAUGACCUUCACUUCCAUCAUUACUUCAACAUAUUUCUGGUUUUUAGUGGUAUUAAUCGACUCAUCAUUCCACUAAUUGGGACUUUGCUCCCACUCAACAUAUAAAGAUUCAACCACCGUAGAAAACCUUUUUCUUCUUCUUCUUAAAAUUACAUCGCUCAUGAAAUUACGACCCAUUUAGUACUAUGGUUUGGUGGUAUUCAUCUUCACUUGUAAGUGAGAGGUCUUGGACUCGAAUCUCGUACAUGGCGAAUUCGAUAAUAAAUUAGGUUGUUUAUUGUGUGGCUUAGCUUAACUCCCCCUUCUCUUAGUGUAAAAUAUAUCAUUGUACUAAAAAAAAUUACGACCCUCAUAAAAUUAUUCGACUUUUUUAUAUUUUUAGUUUAAAGUUUAACAUAAAUAAGCUUAUUACUCUUUUUUUUUUUAAUACGUGCGGCAUUUUAUUUUAAAUUAAUUUUCUCAUUUUCUCUCCCUACACUACACACUUUUGUUGUGUUUUGGCCUUGAACUGAAUGAAUCAAAAGAAAACCUACAUACAAAUGUGUAAUAGAGAUAAGGUGUGUGAAAAACACUUUUCUUUCAUCAUAUGAUUAACUACUAUAAAAAUGCAAGAUAAAAACACGAGAGCUUCAACAGUGUAUCACUACCAUCACAUUUUAUUCAAAACGAGAGUCAUCUUCAUCAAUAAUUUAUCUCAUUUAAUCAUUCAACCAAAAAUCAUACAUUUACAAAAUUGUUCGUGCACUGGCAGAACCACCUUAAAGGCUACCAUGGGCUAUAGCUCAGGUAGCUUUCGGUGAAAAAUAUAUUACAGUUUACAAACCAUCUCUUUUUCUUAAAUCAUUUUUCUCAUCACUUCUUGUACAUAUAUAUUUCAAGUUUGAAUUUUAACACCUAUUUGUUUAGUAAUGAAAAGUUAUUGACUCAACUUGUGAAAAUUUUCUUAAACUGGCCAAUACUGUAAAAAAUACAUUAUCAAGUUUCUUUGGUUAUAAAGAUUUAAAUGUUUAAGCUAGCUCACCGGAUGACAAAUUAUUAACUCGGCUCUUGUGUCCGUAGAGACCAAAUAAUUACAUAAACGACAAAUGGAACUUUUUGUUCUUUUACCUUAACGACUGUUUGGUCACGAUGUUUCAAGAGAUAGCAAGAUUUGGCUGUUGAAUAAACAAAUUGUUUUGGUGGAAUUAACUAAUAAUUAUAUUAUAUAUAUUGGAAGAUCUGUGGUCAGCUUCCUUCCAACAACAACGUGUAAUACUUCGUUGUAUCAGGUUAAUUAACCUCCCCUAGUAAUUAACCAUUAAUUAUCAUGCAAAGCAUGUCUGUUAUGUCUUGUAUUCCAGACUGAUCUACCAGUCCACUCAUAAAUUCCAAUUAAGGUCGAUGCAGAAAAGUAAUUUUGCUUGGACAAUCAUCUAUAUGCGCGGGUAGGGCAAUUUUCAGCUGUUGAUACGGAGCCAACAAUUAAUUAAUGCAACUGCUUGCGCAUCAGCGAUUGUCUCUAACGUGAAUGUAAUUCUAUCGUUUUAAGUGGGAAUAAAAUAGCUUACAAUAGUAACUCGAUGAAAGUAUCACAAAAUAUUGGUCAUUUGUGGCAACAUGAGAGUAAGACUACAAUAGUAGUUCAACAACCAAACUUUUAAAGAUUUCUUUUUUAACUAAAAUAAAUCUAAUGGCAAAUAAUAUCUAUCUUAUUGAAAAAUUUAACAUGUUAUCAAAUUGUUCAUCUAAAGUAUUGAAGAGGUACAUUUUUAUUUAUUAAAGGAGACUUUGAAUGCGGUCCCUAGCUAUAAAUAUUCUUUGAUUGAAACUUUGUUGGUUUUCAAUUUUUGAUCGAAGUCUCUGAAAUUAAUGUGAUAAUUUAUUUCUAUGUACGUUACUAUAUUUUUUAAAUUAAAAAUUAAAAUUUUAGCUAUUUAUGUAAAUGAGAUUUUAAAUAAAAAACCAUAAUUUGUGGGAUUAAAAAUAUUAAAAUAUAAAUAUACUAUUGUGUGUGUGUGUGUGUAAACAUGAGUACAUUCAUCAAAAUUAACCAAAAAAUUAUUGUACCAAAACAUGGGUACAUUCUUCAAAAUCACAAAAAAAAAGAAGAUAUUAGGCUUAAAAAUGGAUUAGAAAAAAAAUUCUUUGAUUAAACUUGACAUGGAUACAUUUAAAAAAAAGAAAAAGAAUGUACCCAUAUAAGUUUAAAAAUGGAUUUAAAAAAAUUGAAUAGAUUACAUAUAAAAAAAAGGGUACAUUUUACAUAUAACAAAUUGAUAUAUUUAAGAAUGAGUACAUUUUAAGAUUAAAAAUUUGAAAAAAUUACAUGAAUGGGUACAUAUAACUAGCAUGGGUACAUUUGGCAAAAAAAAAAAAGAAAGGGAACAAAUAAAUUUAAAAAAAAAGGGUACAAAUACAAAUAAAACUUUAAAAAUAUGGGCACAAAAAGAAAUUAAUAUAUGGGUACAAAUUAAAACUGAAAAGAAAAUUGGUAUAAAUUAAAAAUGGGUACAAACUAAAACAAAAAAUAUAUGAUAAAAAAUUUAGUCAUAAAUAUAAAUAUACUAAUUGUAACAUUUUUAACAUUAAAUGAAUAUAUUAAGAAAUAAAAAAUAUUUUAUUAUUCAAAUAAUUAAUGAUGUUAUUAAUACCCAAGGACCCUGAUAAAAAAUUGAAAAGAAAUAGGAUUUUAAUCAAUGGAAUAGCAAAAGGAAGGAUGAGAACCUAAUUUCUCCUUUAUUAAAUUAUAUAGAGCUCGUUUGAAUGUGCUUUUAAAAUGGCUAAAAGCGCUUUUAGAGAAAAUGUUUUGGUGCUUCUUCCAGGAAGCACUUUAAGUGCUUUUCCAAAAUUUACUUGCAUUUUUACUAAGAAUUGGUUCCAAAAACAUUUUCACCAAAAACGCUUUCAGUCAUUUUAAAAGCAUAUCCAAACAAGCACAUAGUGUUGUUGUUGGAGAUUGUAGCUCAUGGGAUGGUUGUUCAAGAUUGUAUUCUCCUUGGGUCACCUAAUGCUUGACCAAAUGGGUGAUUAAUAUAUCCACAUUAUUUUAUAUAUUUUAUUUAUUUAUUCUUAACGAAUGUUGUAUUUUCUAAAUAGAAUUUUAUGAGCACCAAGUAUUUUAUUUACUGCAUCAUAUUUAUAAUUAUAAUUAUGUGUUAGCGUGUUUUUUUAAGAUGAGACCAAGAAAAAUUAUAACUUACUAUAAUAUAGAGUUUAUUUCAAUACACAAUUGAUUCUAAGUUGAGACCGAAAUUUUUUAUGAUUUUAAAGAGGUUAUUUCAUUAUAGAAUAUUAUUUUAAAAGAGUUUUACUGUAAUAUAUUAUGUUACAUCGCCAAGAUUCAUUCCCUAUAUAUAUAUAUAUAUAUAACUAUUAUUAAUACUCUAAAAAUCUCAAUUCACACUCCUUAUAAGUGUAUUUUUCUUUCUAAUUAUUGAACGUUUGGAGUGCAAAACGAGAGUUUUGGAGUGUCAAUAAUAUUUCCCUAUAUAUAACAAUUACAUAUUUAUAAUAUUAGAUAUUAUUUUAGUAAUUUUUAUUAAUCAUAUAGUAGAUUCCGGACAAUUUAUUAUAUUUAUCAUUGAUCUCCAGGAUUAGAUUUGAUCUUGGUGUGCUUAAUGAAGGUUUAGGGCACUUGGCUAACACUAUGAAACACCAAUUAAUAUGCUGUAAAGUGGAAAAGGAAACCCUUAUUAAUCAACACUAACCUUUACUUGGAUUAGUAAUAACUUCCAUCACACACAAGAAAACUAGACAACUCACAAACCAUCCAUCAAAGUGUUUUUUUUUUAUAAACAAACGAUAAUAUCUCCACUAAGGAGGUGGAAGAAUGGUACAAUAGGCUUGCCAUAAUAAUGUGUUUCAACUUUACUUUUAGUGAGAAUCGAACCUAAAACUCUCACCAAGUGAAGAAGAAUAGCACUAGACCGUGUGGAUGCAAAUUUCCGUCUUCUUCUUCUUGGACAAAAUUGCACCUACAAAACAAUUAACACUUAGGGUCAAGGCCAAGAGCCUCACGCACCCACGAUGAAUGGGGGAGUUUUGGCCGAAGAACCUCCGAUGUCAAAGUUAGAAUUUAGAGAGUUUUUGGAGUUUUACAAGAGUGUCGGAGCUCCCUUUUGGGAGAGAAUGGUGAGCUAUAUAUAAGGAUAUGGCCGGCCCUAUUAGGAGAAUAGGGACAUGCCAUUUAGGUAUUUUUUGGGUGUAAAUUGUGGUUAAUUAGCAAUUAAUAUAUUGAUUAGGAAUAUAUAUAUUAAUUGGCUAAUUAACAUAAUAAAGGAAUGUUUUUGGGAGGUUAUGUAAUUUAUAGCUUAAUUGAUUAGAUAAAAGAGGGAAAAAGAGGUAAAAAUAUUUGGAAUGAGAUAGGUUUUGGGAAUUAUCUUGUAAAAGGGAUUUGAUGAGACGGAUUUUGAAUUGUUACAUUUUUUGGGCAUUUUUGACUUGGUUGAGAGAUGAUUGUACGCUGCUCGCGCGUAAGAAUCCCGAUAUGCAUCAAGGGUGUUUUUGUCCUCUUUUAUCCAAAAUCCACGUGUCGCUUUGUAAUUAUUUUUGGUUCCACAAACCGUAGUACUAAGUGACUCCAUCAAAGUAUUCUCAAACCCUUUACCACAACAAGUGAUUCAGUGAUAAGGACGCAGACUGCGGCUCCCCAAUAAACCAAAAAAAAAAAAAUUAUGAUUUACCACAAAUUGUUCCCUUUUUGAAAAGAAAAAGAAAAAAGUAUUCUCAAACCCCUUACGUUUACCAUUUUAUCCUUGUCCCACGUAGGCAAGGAAGAAAAUAUCAAUAAUAUCGGCGAUAUAUCGCCGAUAUUAUCGGUUUUUCCCCAAACCGAUAUUUUAAGUGGUAUCCAAGGGGUUUUCCUCAAAAUUUCGCGAUAAUAUCGAUAAUAUCGCGAUAUUAUCGAUAUUAUCGUGAAAUUUCGGAACUGUGCAAGUCGGAGACGAACGCCGGAGCUUCUACAGCUCCGGCCGACUGUAAAACAACCCCCUAGACUCCAAUCUAGGUAUGAAAAUGAAAUAGAAGACGAGAUGAACGUUUUUAUAACGUCCGUUUUCCGUGAAACGGCCGGAGGUGUUCGGAAAGUUCGUCGACACCCACGGCCUCACCGGAGAUGGGUGUGCCUAUUCCCGAGUCAAUUUCAUCCCAAAAACCUUGCCAAAAGAUGAGAUAGAACUUCAAUUUCACAUCUAAGCUUCGAUCUAGAACAUAAAAAGAAAAACCCGAAGCUUACCUAACCGGAGAAAUUGAAGGAACUCGCCGGAGGGUUCCUGUGUUCGCCGAGUUGCAGAGACGAGAGGAGAGGGAGAAAGACGAGGGUUCCUGUGUUCGCCUGAUCUAACGAAUGAUCAAUCUGGAGUGGUACGACGACGAGGAGAUAGAGGAGGGGGAAAAGGAAGAGGAAGGGGAAGGCGACGUCGUAAAGGCGGAGUCGUCGUCUUCGAUUAGCUUCUCCGAUUUGACGAAAUCGAUGACGAUAGCGUCUAGGGCUUCCCAAUUAAUUGGCGUCGAGUCCAUUUUUUGGAAUUUUCUAGGAAAAUUUUGGACUGUUUGGUUGGAAGGAAAAUGACUAGAGAAAGAGAGAGAGGUGGAGGCUCGGAGGGGAAAAUAUUAUGUGAAACGAAGGGAAGACACGAGGUCUUUCGUAAAUUAGAGGGCAGAGAGGUGCGAGUAAUGUUAGUGUCACCGUGUGGGUGAUUUAGGUUUUUUACUGACUUGUACGUGGACGUCUUGAGGUGUGCAAAAUAUCUAAUCUGAUAUGAUUUGAUCUGCGCACAUUUGACGUAUACGGAUCUGGAAAAUAUAUAUAACAAAAUGGUAAUUUUCUUAUUUUUUUUUUAUAUAAAGAAUGAGUACAUUAUAAAUAAGUUGUGAUUACAUAUGUGUUUGUGAUUACAUAUUCAGCCUGUAAUAUUUAUAUGGUCGUUAAGAUGUCUGCAAGGCUUGCAAGCUAAUAUUUAUUAUCUAGGAUAAAUUUCUAUAUUUAAAAAAAAACACCAGGGGAUUCGAACCCCUCCCAUUUUACUCCUUCAACAUAGUGAAAAUUUUGAACCUCAUAAGAAUUCUAUGUGGUACUAAGUCACUCAUGUAUCUUACCAUACAAUGUAUAAAGUGUAAAAUAUUGUACUAAUUCAUUAUAUAUAAAUGAUUAUGGUGUGUUUAAACUUCUUUCAUUAAUUACUAUAUAUUUUCUACACUCACAAUGUUUGCCAACUCGCUAUAUAAUCAACUUAAAUCAGUUAAAUCCAUUAUGCAAUGCAUUUCCUUCCAAUUUUUUGUGAUAAAUUAAUAGAUAAUUGACUAAAUAAACAUCCUGCAAAGUUUCAAUAAAAAUUUCCAAGUUUUUCUUACAAUUUCCGUGGUUUCCAUGUAAUUUUUAUCGAUAUCGAUAUUAUCCCGAUAUUUCCAUCGAUAUUUCCGUGUUUUCGGACUACCGAUAUUUUCUUCCUUGCACGUAGGGAACAUUUUACCAUACUGGUAACUCAAAACAAAAUUUCACUAGACGACAACACCAUGGUAACUGAAAACAAAAGUAUCCCCAUCAGAAUUAAAAGAAAAAAAAAUACAAACAAAUUAUUUACUUAGAAAAAUCCAAGCUAGCACAAAUUCCGAAGAGCAAACAAUUGGCUUAACUUACCGGCUGAGCCCCUCACCCAAUUGCUUUCUUUAUGUUCUAACCAACCUUCCCAUUACCAAAAGAUCAAAACUUUAGUAUGCACCCCUUUAUAAUAUAAAUUAAUAUGAGAGCUGCUAAACCCACCCCGUUGUCUUAUUUCCCCACCUACGUUAUAUUUACACCCACUAUAAAAAGUUAAAAAAUUAAAAUGUUAUUUUCUCACCCACUAUUAUUCCUAAAAUAACCCUAUAUAUAAUUAGAGAUAAAUUUCUCUAAAAUUUAAUGAAGCUACUCCCCAUUAAUUCAGAAAACAAUAAACCCCAGUGAUAAACCAUAAACGAAAUUGACCAAAAAGGAACAACCUCGGAUACAGCAGCAGCAGCAAUACAUGUUCAUUGCCUGUAUACUUUUUUUAGUCACAUUGUUGUCUGUUUUGUUUCUAAUGGGAUAAAUUUUCACAAUUCAGUACCAACUACGAAGAGCUUCGCUAACAGAGGAUGAUGCCCUUGCAUUUCUAAAGGCUGAUAAUCUUGGUGAUUACAGAACCUAUUCAAGUUUCUGUGGAACACUUCGACGGGUUCGAUAUCAACUAACCAAUUGGAAAAUUUACUAAAAGGCAAAGAUUCAGAGCAAGAUUGUGACGCUGUUCGUGGAACCUCCUCAGCCCUCGCUAACAGGUUCGAUAUCAAUUAACCAAUUGCAAAAUUUUCCCUAACCUAAUUAAAACAAUUCCAACAAAUUCUAGGAAUUCUCAUAGGAAAACAUGAAACAAAUUGUACCCUAUAACCUAAUGCAAAUUCAAAUAAAAAGUCACAGAGCUAUGCUUCAAUUAUUUAUGUCGACGAAUCAAGAUGGUCCACAUAAAAUUAUCUUUUACCUGUUCGACGGAAACAUAGUCAUCUACUUGUUCUAUAGAAAUGUUAUCUUCUAAAUUCAUUCUUUUUGCUUUCUUUGAAUGAAAGGGGAUGAAAAGGAUGAGUUAGGGUUUAUGGGAGACAAAUUUUCUAAACUUUUCUUUUUUAUAAAAAAAAAAUUAAUGCAAAAAGGAGUAAGUAAGGUCCAUAUUAGUCAUUUUACAAAUGGAUAAAUUUGUAAUUAAAAAAUUCAUAAAAAGGUGGGUGGGGAAAUAAGACACCGGGGUGGGAAUAUCACCACUCAUUAAUAUUCAAGUGCCACAUAAUUUUUUUUUUCUCAAAUAAGUCCUCAAAUUUAAAAAAGAACUGUUAUUAGCACUUUAUAAUUCUUAUUUUGCACUCUUUUGAAGUGUGUGUGUGUGUGUAUAUAUAUAUAUAUAUAAUUUUUUUUUACAAGAGGACAAGUGGUGUCAAACCACGAUUAUUCACCAAUUUGGGGCCCGGAGAGGCUAUGGGGAAUUUUACCCUGUCCGUAACAACAUUUAAGUAGACUUACUAACUCGGGGUAUCGAACUUGGACCUCCCACAUUUAUUUGUUUAUUGGGAACCUCCCAUAUUUUUUUAAAGUAUAUUUUCUUUCUAAAUAUAAAAAAUUUAAAGUGCGAAAUGAAAAUUUUAGAUUACUAAUAAUAAAUUCACAUUAAAAAAUAGUAACAUUUUGUAAAUUUAGAGACUCACUGUCCCACUUCUUUUUAUUAUCAUAAUUAGUCUUUCUCAACUUUUUUUUUUCAAAGUUAAAAUAUUAAAAAAAGCUCACUUGAUGGAAAAUAGUAAAUAAAUACUAAGAUUUGUUGAAUAUGUUGGAGCAAAAUUGUAACAAAUUUUAGUUUUCAAAUUGAAAUUGGCAUAUGGUCCAACAAAUUUGUAUUUGUAGAAACUGUUGCUGAUGAUAUAAAGGUUUGUUUACUUAUUAGUAAUGCGAUGAAAAAAAGGAAUAGGUUCCUUUCAUGAUUUUUCUUGUGUUUACUUGCAUGUAAUUGGAUUACCUAAAACUCGUUAUGAAAAUAACCCAAUUUCAAGAAUUUGAUUAGCUAGAGGGAGGUGUUUAUCCAAUUCCCUAUCUUUACUUUUUCUCAUUUCGAAGAUAUUUGGUUUGUUAAUUCCCCAUUACUAAUAAGUAAACGAGGCAUAAAUUUUUAGCAGUUAAAUAUUCUCUGAUUGCUAAAUGUUAACGCAUAAAGAAAUUUAUAAUAAAAUGUAUUGCACAUUGGCAUAGUCUUAUUGGGUAUUGAAUUCCACAUAUAUUUCAAGAGACGACAUAUAAGUUUUAGGGAAAAGAAAAAGUCCACAAGUCAAAGUUAAACAAAUUUUAAAUUUCAGAAAAUAAAAUAAUAAUUUUUUAGUUUAAUUAAAAAAAUUUCAAAAAGUGUAGCUAAAAAUAAAAAAAAACUAAUAAAAAGGGUUUGAAAACUUUGAGUUUUAACGAAAAUGACAAAAUAAAGGGUAAAGUGUAUAGUACUGGGAUUGAUUUUUUAAUGUAAAAAUAUAAUUUUUCGUUAAAAUAAACAAUACAAAUAAUUUUUCGUUAAAGUUCUUUAAAAAUAAUCUAUCUACAAAUCGAAAAAAAAUUGGGUAAAAAGACACAGGACAAAGAAAAAAAUAAAAAACCAAAAAUGCACACACAUGGAAAGGAAACGAAAAGACUAAAGACUCUCUCUCUUACUCUGUCCUCCCACCAUUUCCACACUCACUUUCUCUCCAUCGGCUUCUUCUUCUUUCUUCGCGUAGCUCCCGCGUCCAGGUCGUUCGAGGGCACUGAAUCUAUUUCUAGGUAUUUUUGUUUGGGGAAUCACAAUUUUACGCAUUUUUGUUUCGAACAAUUUGUGUAAAAUUUGAUUUGCAAAUGGACGAUUUUAUUGCCCUAGAUUCUGUGAUGCUGCUGUGAUCUGAUCUUGGAACUAGUCCUUAAUUGUAUUUAAUUCUUGUGUUUCUGUAAAUUUGCAAUUAGUUACGUUGUUUGUACUGAAUUUUAGUUAAUCCAAUUGGUAAAUUUUGCUAACUGUGAUUUGUGGGCAUGAAGAUCUGAUCAUUUGGUUCAAUUUUGGAUUGUUUUUUUGGUGUGCAGAGUGUUGGGUUCGAUUUGGAGUGGGAAGUGAGUUUGCAUUGUGUGGGGUUGCACUGUAGCAUUGUGCCUUUUUGAACAGUGUUAGUGUGUUUGUAAAGUAAAUGUGUUUGUGUUGAAGGAGGGCUGGUAUUGGAUGGUGAGGUGAUGAUGUGAUGCUACUUAGGCAGAGAAACUGGGUUUUAGGAUUGUCGGAAGGAGGGGAGUUCUUCGACAUUUGCAUUAUUGGUGGACUGAGGUAUUUUUCUUUGAUCUCCAUAAGUUGUAUUUGUUUCGUAUUUAUCUGGUUUUUGAAAAUUUUCAUGUCGGGCAAAGUACCUUUUUUAUAAUUCGGUUGUGAUCUUUAAGGGCCAUGAUGAUUUUCUUUUUCGUGCUUUUCAAUAGGGAUAAAAAUCAAAGAGAGGGAAUAGAGAUGAAAGGAAGGAGAGGAGAGGGAGCAAGAGAGCAAAAAUAUAUAUAGAAUGAAACCAAAAACCUUAUAGUUGUUUUUAAUUUGUGUUAAAAGUCAUUAGAUGUAUUUUCCUUAUUAAACAAAAAAAACCAUUACCAUAGUUUUGAUGAAAUAUUGUGAAGUAUUUGCAGCUUCAGGUCACCCAAUUUUAAGGUUGUUUCAUUUGAUGAACAAUUAAAAUAUUUUAAUUUUCAGGUGGGCAAGGAGAAAUAUGAAAGUGGCAUACGGUGCAAAUGUCAAAGUCUCCCUCCCCUAAACUGCGACCCAUAUCUUCUUCUACUUCACAGUCUAGGUUAGACAUGUUCUAUUUGCUUGGUCUCUUUAACUGUGGUGACAAAUUGGUCUUUGAUAGUUCAGAAAAUGAAUGAUGCACUGAUAAAUUUACUUGAGUGCUCCUUAAGUUUUUUAUUUUUUUUAUUUUUAUCCCAGUCUUUAUAAAUAAGCUGGAGAAACAAAAUCGAUUCUUCUUAAACUCUUUAGUUGCACAAUUGUUGAUUAUUCCUUUGCAAUAUAUUCAAAUGGUUCAUAUUUCACCCAGGGUUUUAAAGGAACCAGCAAUGGAUGAUGAAGAAGGUACAAUGGCAAGAGUUGCUCAAUUUGUCGAGCAACUACAUGCCAGCAUGUCUACACCGAAAGAAAAAGAACUUAUUACAGCUCGAUUGCUUGGUAUUUCCAAAGCAAGAAAGGAUGCAAGAGCAAUUAUUGGUUCGCAUUCCCAGGCAAUGCCAUUGUUCAUAAGCAUUCUCAGGAAUGGCACCCCUGCGGCAAAAGUUAAUGUGGCUGCAACUUUGAGUGUCCUGUGUAAAGAUGAAGACUUGCGUCUUAAAGUACUUCUAGGCGGAUGCAUCCCCGCUUUACUCUCACUUUUGAAGUCUGAAUCAAUUGAGGCUAGGAAGGCAGCAGCAGAAGCUAUAUACGAAGUUUCCUCUGGUGGGCUUUCAGAUGAUCAUGUAGGCAUAAAAAUAUUUAUUACAGAAGGUGUAGUACCAAACUUGUGGAAUCAACUCAAUCCAAAGAGCAAGCAGGACAAAGUGGUUGAAGGUUUUGUGACAGGGGCUUUGAGAAAUCUUUGUGGUGACAAGGAUGGUUACUGGAGAGCAACACUUGAGGCUGGUGGAGUAGAUAUCAUUGUGGGUCUUCUGUCUUCUGACAAUGCUGCUGCCCAGUCCAAUGCUGCCUCCCUUUUGGCCCGUCUUAUGUUGGCUUUCAGUGAUAGCAUCCCCAAAGUAAUAGAUUCUGGAGCUGUCAAAGCUUUGCUUUGGCUUGUGGGUCAGGAAAAUGAUGUUUCUGUUCGUGCUAGUGCUGCUGAUGCUCUGGAAGCCCUUUCUUCAAAGUCAACUGGGGCUAAAAAGGCUAUUGUGAAUGCAGAUGGUCUUCGAGUUCUAAUUGGGGCUAUAGUUGCUCCAUCUAAAGAAUGCAUGCAAGGUGAGUGUGGGCAGGCUCUUCAAGACCAUGCCACACGGGCUUUAGCAAAUAUUUGUGGCGGGAUGUCUGCUUUAAUUUUGUAUCUUGGAGAACUUUCACAGUCACCUCGCCUAGCUGCCCCGGUUGCUGAUAUUAUUGGAGCUCUUGCAUACACACUGAUGGUCUUUGAGCACAAUUCUGGUGCGGAUCAGGAUUCUGUUAAUGUAACAAAGAUAGAGGAUAUUCUUGUAAUGCUGCUAAAGCCUCGGGACAAUAAGCUUGUUCAAGAGCGUGUCCUUGAGGCCAUGGCUAGUCUAUAUGGCAACAACUAUCUCUCCAGUUGGCUCAAUCAUGCACAGGCAAAGAAGGUGCUCAUUGGACUUAUAACAAUGGCUGCUGUUGACGUGCAAGAGUAUCUUAUACCCUCUUUGACAAGCUUAUGCUGUGAUGGUGUUGGAAUAUGGGAGUCCAUUGGCAAGAGAGAAGGAAUUCAGUUACUUAUUUCACUGUUGGGGUUAUCCAGUGAGCAGCAUCAAGAAUAUGCUGUUCAGUUGCUGGCCAUCUUAACUGACCAAGUUGAUGACAGCAAGUGGGCUAUUACUGCUGCCGGUGGGAUUCCUCCUCUGGUACAGUUAUUAGAGACGGGUUCUCAGAAGGCGAAAGAGGAUGCCGCUCAUGUGUUGUGGAAUUUGUGCUGUCACAGUGAAGAUAUCCGUGCAUGUGUUGAAAGUGCAGGAGCCAUCCCAGCAUUUUUAUGGCUUCUGAAAAGUGGUGGGUCAAGAGGACAAGAAGCAUCAGCCAAGGCACUCACAAAGCUUGUCCGGACAGCUGAUUCUGCUACCAUUAAUCAGUUGUUAGUUUUGCUCCUCGGUGACUCUCCAAGCUCAAAGGCCCACACUAUCAGGGUAUUGGGUCAUGCACUCAUAAUGGCCUCACACAAGGAUCUUGUGCAUAAAGGUUCAGCAGCUAAUAAAGGGCUGAGGUCUCUUGUCCAGGUUCUCAAUUCAUCAAAUGAAGAAACUCAAGAGUAUGCUGCUUCUGUCCUAGCUGAUCUAUUCAGCACAAGACAAGAUAUUUGUGAUACUCUUGCUACUGAUGAGAUCGUGCAUCCUUGCAUGAAGCUAUUGACCAGCAACACACAAGGUGUUGCAACACAAUCAGCUCGAGCAUUGGGUGCUCUGUCCCGUCCUAUGAAGACCAAACCAAGAAGCAAGAUGUCUUAUAUUGCAGAAGGUGAUGUCAAGCCCCUUAUCAGACUUGCUAAAACUUCUUCCAUUGAUGCUGUUGAAACUGCAGUUGCCGCACUUGCCAAUCUUCUCUCUGAUCCCCAGAUUGCUGCAGAAGCCCUGGCAGAAGAUGUUGUUUCAGCUUUGAUAAGAGUACUGGGUGAUGGAACUUCAGAAGGUAAGAAGAAUGCAUCCCGUGCGCUUCAUCAAUUGCUGAAGCAUUUUCCAAUAGGUGAUUUGCUCACAGGAAAUGCUCAGUGUCGUUUUGCUAUGCUUGCUAUUGUUGAUUCCUUAAAUGCAUUGGAUAUGGAUGGGACUGAUGCUGCGGAUGCUUUAGAAGUAGUUUCCCUUUUGGCUAGAACAAAACAGGGCGUGAACUUCACUUACCCUCCAUGGUCUGCCCUUGCUGAAGUUCCAUCAAGCUUAGAACCUCUUGUUCGCUGCCUGGCUGAAGGGCCUCCCCCGCUUCAGGAUAAGGCAAUAGAAAUUUUAUCUAGGCUUUGCGGUGAGCAGCCAGUUGUGCUUGGUGAUCUAUUGAUUGAAAGAUCAAGCUCUCUUGGUUCACUAGCUAACAGGGUAAUGAACUCAUCUAGUCUAGAAAUCAGAGUUGGAGGAGCUGCAUUACUUAUUUGUGCAGCAAAAGAGCACAAACAGAAGGCACUCGAAGUACUUGAUGUGUCAGGAUAUUUGGAACCAUUAACGUAUGCUUUAGUGGACAUGGUGAAGCGAAAGUCUAGCUGCUCCUUUCCAGAAAUUGAAGUCAGAACUCCUAGAGGUUUUAUUGAAAGAACUGCAUUCCAUGAAGGUGAUGAGUUUGAUGUCCCUGAUCCAGCCAUUGUUUUGGGGGGUACUGUUGCCUUGUGGUUGCUAUGCAUAAUUGGUUCCUUUCAUGCCAAGAGCAAACUCACCAUUAUGGAAGCUGGUGGUCUUGAGGUUCUAUCUGAAAAGCUCGCAGGUUACACUUCCAAUCCACAGGUAUUAACUAAUUAGCUUCAUAGUUGUAGUUCCAUGUUUAGAUACUUUUUGGUACAGAUAUUUGAAAUAUAAAUUUUUGUAGCUUACUAGAUUGGUCAUCUUUAUGAACAGGCAGAAUAUGAGGAUACAGAAGGUAUAUGGAUUAGUGCCCUGGUCCUGGCUAUUCUGUUUGAAGAUGCAAAUGUUGUUCUGUCACCUGUAACAAUGCGCAUCAUUCCUUCACUUGCUCUUCUUUUGAAAUCGGAUGAGAUGAUUGAUAGGUUCUUUGCUGCCCAGUCAAUGGCCAGUCUUGUUUCUAAUGGUAGUAAAGGAAUAAUUCUUGCCCUUGCAAAUUCGGGUGCUGUUGUUGGAUUGAUAACUCUUAUUGGUUAUGUAGAGUCCGACGUGCCUAACCUUGUUACUUUAUCAGAAGAGUUUUCUCUGGUGCGAAAUCCUGAUCAAGUUGUUUUGGAGUGCCUUUUUGAUUUUGAAGACAUAAGAGUUGGAUCAACAGCACGUAAAUCCAUACCUCUCUUGGUGGAUCUCUUGAGACCAAUGCCAGAACGGCCCGGUGCCCCUCCAAUUGCUGUUAAACUCUUGACUCGUAUCGCCAAUGGAAGCGAUACAAAUAAGUUAAUUGUGGGUGAAGCUGGAGCUCUGGAUGCUCUGACAAAGUACCUGUCUCUGAGUCCACAAGACUCCACCGAAGCCACAAUAACUGAAUUAUUCAGAAUUUUAUUUAGCAAUCCUGAUCUCAUUCGAUAUGAAGCAUCAGCUAGUUCGUUGAAUCAACUCAUAGCUGUUCUGCGACUGGGUUCAAGAAAUGCAAGAUAUAGUGCUGCCAGAGCUCUUCAUGAACUAUUUGGUGCUGAGAACAUUAGAGAUUCUGAUUUAGCCAGGCACUCAAUUCAGCCAUUGGUUGACAUGCUUAAUGCUGCAUCAGAGAGUGAACAAGAGGCUGCCCUCAUUGCAUUAAUAAAGUUGACUUCAGGAAAUUCUUCUAAAGCAGCUUUGUUGACUGAUGUGGGGGGAAACCCAAUGGAGAGUUUGUACAAAAUACUGUCUUCUGCUUCAUCCUUGGAAUUAAAGAGAACUGCUGCACAACUCUGUUGUACUUUGUUUGUUAAUACUGAAGUCAGAGGAAAUCCAAUUGCCUCAGAAUGCAUAGAGCCCCUUAUAUCACUGAUGCAUGCUGAUGCUACUACAGCUGUAGAAGCUGGAGUUUGUGCUUUUGAAAAAUUGUUGGAUGAUGAACACCGGGUGGAGCUUGCAAUGGCCUAUAAUGUUGUGGAUCUCCUUGUUGGAUUAGUUUCUGGAACAAGCAUGCAGCUCAUUGAGGCCAGUGUCUGUUCUCUCAUAAAGUUAGGGAAAGACCGGACCCCAUGCAAAUUGGAUAUGGUAAAUGCUGGAAUCAUUGAUAAAUGUCUUGAACUACUACCUGUUGCACCCAGUUCAUUAUGCUCUUCCAUAGCUGAAUUGUUCCGCAUUUUAACAAAUAGUAAUGCAAUUGCUAGAAGUUUGGCUGCUGCACAAAUUGUAGAACCUCUUUUUAUAGUUUUACAACGUCCAGAUUUCAAUUUAUGGGGACAGCACAGUGCAUUACAAGCACUAGUAAAUAUUUUGGAGAAGCCACAGAGCCUUGCAACGUUAAAGCUUACACCUAGCCAAGUGAUCGAGCCUCUUAUUUCAUUUCUGGAAUCCCCAUCUCAAGCCAUUCAGCAGCUUGGCACAGAAUUGCUAUCUCAUCUUCUUGCACAAGAACAUUUUCAGCUAGAUAUUACAACAAAAAAUGCAGUUGUUCCACUCGUUCAGCUUGCUGGAAUUGGAAUAUUAAACUUACAGCAGACAGCGGUAAAGGCAUUGGAAAUAAUCUCCACAAGCUGGCCAAAGGCAGUUGCCGAUGCUGGUGGUAUAUUUGAGCUUGGAAAGGUUAUUAUUCAAGAUGACCCUCAGCCACCUCAUGCCCUGUGGGAAUCAGCUGCUUUAGUUCUCUCAAAUGUUCUGCACUUCAAUGCUGAAUACUAUUUUAAGGUUCCUGUGGUGGUUCUUGUUAAAAUGUUGCAUUCAACAGUGGACAGCACCAUCACGGUGGCCCUCAAUGCGUUGCUUGUUCAUGAAAGGAGUGAUAAUUUAAGUGCUGAACAGAUGACUGAUGGUGGUGCUAUAGAAGCCUUGUUGGACCUUUUACGGUCUCAUCAAUGCGAAGAAGCAUCUGGAAGAUUACUUGAAGCUCUAUUUAACAAUGUCAGGAUACGACAAAUGAAGGUCUCUAAGUAUGCAAUAGCACCACUAUCACAGUAUCUGUUGGAUCCACAAACCAAAUCAGAGUCUGGAAAACUUCUUGCUGCUCUUGCUCUUGGAGACCUUUCCCAACAUGAAGGGCUUGCAAGAGCCAGAGAUUCCAUUUCUGCAUGUCGUGCAUUGGUAAGCUUGCUUGAAGAACAGCCAACAGAAGAGAUGAAAAUGGUGUCAAUUUGUGCAUUGCAAAACUUCGUCGUGAACAGCCGAACGAAUAGGCGAGCUGUCGCAGAAGCAGGGGGCAUACUGAUUAUUCAAGAACUACUACUGUCUCCCAAUGCAGAAACUGCUGGGCAGGCAGCAUUGCUUAUCAAAUUUUUGUUUUCUAAUCACACACUCCAAGAGUAUGUAUCAAAUGAACUUGUCAGAUCUUUGACAGGUAAUUCACGUUUGCAUCAUUAUUUGGUUUCGAAUGCUGAUUUUUCCCCUAUAAACUAAAAGACUGACAUAUGAUAUUCAUCAACUUCCCUUUAUUUCUUUCUUCUGUUGACUUUUUGGAUCCCAUGCCGUGUCUUGCAGCUGCAUUGGAGAGAGAGUUGUGGUCCUCAGCAACUAUUAAUGAAGAGGUCUUGAGAGCCUUACAUAUGAUAUUCAUCAACUUCCCAAAGCUCCAUAUUUCUGAAGCAGCCACUCUCUGCAUUCCCAAUUUGAUCGGGGCUCUUAAAUCUGGUAGCGACACGGCUCAGGAUGUUGUUUUGGACACCCUUUCCCUGUUGAGACAUUCUUGGUCAACCAUGCCAAUAGAUAUUGCAAAGUCUCAGGCUGUGAUUGCUGCUGAAGCCAUUCCCAUCCUACAAAUGCUCAUGAGAACCUGUCCUCCAAGUUUCCAUGAGAGAGCAGACAGCCUGUUGCAUUGCUUACCAGGUUGUUUGACGGUUACAAUUAAGCGGGGCAACAACCUUAAACAGGCCAUGGGAGGCACAAAUGCUUUUUGUCGAUUGACAAUAGGCAAUGGCCCUCCUCGACAAACCAAGGUAAUGGUUCCAUAGACUAGUUAUGUACAACAUGAAAAAAAAGAAACUGUCUAUUGCAUAACCUACAUGUUUGGAUUCAAUCAUUUUUCUUCUUUUCAUUCUUUUCCUCCAUUUACGAGGUACGGUUGAAGCCUCUUUAGAGCACCUGACAAAUCUUAGGGGUACCCUUAAUCCCAUAAACACUGGAUAUUGGAUAUUAUACUAUUGCUACUGCGACGACUUUGCAGCAUCUAAAAUCUGCAAUAGAAUUUUGAUAACAUAGCAAUGCCUGCAGGUUCCCUACAGUAUAUUGGUUUUGUGAAAAUUUACCGAUUAUUAUUUUUAUUUGAACGAAAAUUUUAUUUUAUUGGUCUAUUUAUAAAUAGAAAGAGUGAGCAUAGUGCAUUUGACUACAACUCUACUGUUUCAAAUUAAGUUUCAUGUUGUGCAUAUAAUUUGUGAUGUUUUAUUAUCCUCUCUAUGCUUACAGCUUUACGUUAUACACAAUGUUGUUUUGACACUAGGUAGUGAGCCACAGUACCUCUCCUGAGUGGAAAGAAGGCUUUACGUGGGCAUUUGAUGUGCCUCCAAAGGGACAGAAACUCCACAUCAUUUGCAAAAGCAAAAAUACCUUCGGAAAGGUAAUUACUUUUCUUUUUAGAUUUGCAAAUCGCAAGCAGGAUGAGUUAAUCAUUCUAUUUUGUUAUUUAAUUUUUAAUUAUCAUGAAUUGUUUGUGUUCGACCGAUGAGAAAGAAGUUAAAUGGUCUUGUUUCCUGUAAGGCUUUUGAUUGUUGACCUAUAGUUUUAAUAGGGUGGGUUUAAAUCUCACCAAUCAAUAGUGAACGGGCGAUAACUCUGGUUUAAAUCUUACACAUGAUUAGUAAACUUUCCUGCCAUUUUGCUUUUCAUUUCGUGAUAGUGGUUGGUGAGCCUUGUGUUUUUCUUUUGUUUCUCAGACAACUCUGGGAAGAGUGACGAUCCAAAUUGACAAAGUCGUUAGUGAAGGAGUAUACAGUGGAUUGUUUAGUCUAAAUCAUGACAGCAACAAAGAUGGGUCUUCCCGUACACUAGAAAUCGAGAUUAUCUGGUCAAACAGAAUGGCUGAUGAAGAAACAUGAACGAGUACUGAGGUCUGGUGCGGCGCAGUCUCCUCAUAAGGCCGGGAAUGCCGGAUUGAUUAUCCAAAAGGGGGAAAGGAGGCUGGCUUGCUUGUAAUUAAUUAGUUUUUGUGUUUUGAAGGUCCAGUUUUGUAGUUUGAAAUAUUUAAGCUGCUUCAGGUUAUUGUAAAUUAAAUAUGAUAUAGCUUGCGGAUUUGAUAGAGUGGAAAUGCAUUCCCACGUUUUAAGGGAAGCUAGAAGUUGAAUAGAAGUUUGUACAGGUCAGCCUGCAGGUGCUUGCAACUCAAAGAUUUUAAUAAGAUUGGAGUUCGAAUUUCAAUGGUUUCCCAGGAUUCUGCUCAAGUUUCAAAACUAGACACCAGGUUAUAUAACAUCCUGACAUCCGCCUGACGUUUGCAUUAACGGAGUAAUAGACCAAAUGCCGGCAUCUCGUAAGUACAUUGGCAACAUGAAGCAAAACCCGCAGAUUAGACGAGCACAACUACUUGGCAGCAGCAACAAGUGCCGAUCGAGCUUUUGUGAAAGUGGCUAUCAGUGAUCCGAGUUGCAACUUAUCGUUGCACCCAAAGGUCAACCUGUACCUGCAAACGUAUAAACACUGAUUAGUGUAAAUUCAGCUUAUAGCCGGUUCCAGUUUUAAGUUUUAACAGUCAAUUUGCAAGUUGAACAAAAUUACAAUCUUCGGUAUCAUAUAUUGGCAAAUAAUUUCCACAAAACGCAUUAUUUCCUUCUCCACUUUUCUGAACAAAACCAAUGCACCCUAUUGUUUAUUAUGUUGUGACCAAGUACGGCCAGUACCAUGUUGCAAUGAACUUGGCCGCCUAAUUUGUAGAGUCCAUAACGAAUAAGCAAAUGAAAACAGUGCAAGACCAAAUACUUACUCUAUGUCAGCUAAAUCAUUAAUCAACUGAACGCGAACACCUGCUGGCAUCUUAAUCUUAAAAAUGAACCUGUUCAAAGAAAGCAAUGUAGGUGAGAGACGAAGCAAACAAAAUGACAUGAGAAAAUGUAGAAAAAUGUGUAACACUUACAUGGUCACUUCUCUUACAAUAUCUAUCAAAGCCAAUCCUUUUCUUGCAUUCAUAUCAGAUAUUGCUGCAAUACAUCAAGUGUGCAAAGUAAAUACUAAAUAACUCUUCCCAGUGACAUACUGUUCCUUCCUUGAGAAUAGAAUAAGUACAUAAAUAAAUAAGACGGUUGAAUACUUUUGAAACUCCCAGCAAAUGAUUCGUUCAAAAGCCAGUAAGACAUUUGCUCAAUAUCUUUGGGCAAUGGAUUUCCUGUGCAUAGAUAUACUGCUUCUUCAGUUAUCUGCUGUGAAGCCAUAUGAGUUGACUGCAUACAUUGAAAUAGGAAUGACGUCAAGAUCUAUUCGUGAAUUUAAAAAAAAAAAAAAAAAAAAUCAAAUCCAUGGGACAGGUAAUUUGAGUUUCUGCUAAAAUAUAUAUUUUACUUCUAGAGUCCUAAUAUUGGAGACCAUUUACAAUGCUCAUCUGAAGGCAUCAAGUAAAAAAGGGUUAUUUCUCUAUCCCGCCAUUUUAUGAAUCAAUACAUUCAGAUUUUAAACAGCAAAAGAGAAAGGGGAAAAGACAAAUGUAACAUCUGUAGAGAUUAUAACCUGCAAAAUGUUCAAAGCCUUUCUCAUGUCACCAUUGCUAAGCCCUACAACUGCCGCUAAACCACUCGCAGGCACAUCAAGCCUAGUCCAAUCAAUAAAUGUCAACUUAUCAAUAUAUUUCUGACUGAAGCCAGACAUCAAAAGCUACGACCAUAAUGUUUACUAGUGAACCACAGUUCUAUAAGUUUAUUUGCCUUGACUACCCAAUGACAUGUUUAGAAUAUUUCAUUGUUCUUGAAGCAUUUCAAACCAAUAUACAGGGAAAAAUGCGGGUAAGAGAACAGUGCUUACCCUUCAGCUUCUAUAACAUGUUUAAGUCUCUCUGAGACAUGAAACUCCUCAAGUGGAGCAAAUCGAAAACGAGUACAUCUGGAUUGUAAUGCUGGAAUAAUCUUGUUGACAUGAUUGCAGAUUAGUGAGAACCUAGUGCUCUUUGUGUAUUUCUCAAUCACUGCACCAAAACAAAAGUACAGAAGAGAAAAGUAUCAGUGAAAUAACUUCGAACUGAGAAAACCUACUGCAUUAAAACAAUUUAUACCUCUUCGCAAAGCAAAUUGAGCAUCCUUUGUCAUAGCAUCUGCCUCAUCAAGCAAGACCAUUUUGACAGAUGACUUUGCACUCUCACCCCUAAACAGACAUAGUCAGACUAUAAGUUUUGAUUACAAGGCUAAUUGUUAUACAUGCUGACACACAGAAAUUGGAAUCAAAUAAGAUCACGAUGCAUAGCCAUCUUUGGGGGUCUGAAGUCUUAUAAGGGAGAUAUAUUCAUUAGAGCUGGAAAACAACCAGCAGGCCAAACCCAGAUUUUUAAGUCCGGACAUGAGGUUUGACUAUUAAGUAUGAAUCAUAGUUCUAAUAGUAAUCUAUUUCAUAUAUUACGUUCUCCAGAUACUAGAAUGAAUUUCCGACGAAGUAAAACCAUCUCUAUCAAGAUGACAGAUCCAUUCUCUGUACUAUCCAUAGGAUCAUUUAUACCAAGUCACACUCAUUAAAAUGGCCGUGAUCUGUCAUUACGUGCGCGACUAUCUCCAUUAUAGAAAUAAAAAAAGGAAAAGAAGGAACAAAUUCGUUAAUAAAUACUAGAAACAAAGCGUAGGCUUUCUACAUAUGUAUCGUUCAAAAACAACGAUUUUUUAUCAGCUGUAGCAAAGAAAUAAACUUCAUAAAAGUCGACAUAUGAAGAAAUAGGUAUGCCUAGAUACUUUAUUAUUCUAUGGAUAAAGGAUCUAAUUGAUAGAGAAGAAGCUCCGUAAAGAUCAAUUCGCGAGGUUUUGGUCCGAUACAAUAAGAACUGCUUGCUUAUGUCAUGAUCUGAGAUAAAAGUUAGGAAUCCACUUAUGUAAUAGAGUUGAUACCCUAAGGUAUUGAGCAACGAUGUAGCCUCAGAACCCAAAGAUAGUAAGUCUUUUCCUUCUUAUGAGGGAAGGUCUUUUUCAAAGAUUCUAUAUCAAUUUAUAUAUGAAACCGAGAUAGUUACCUUUCAAAAAAAAUUAGAAUGAUAGUGAAACGUAGAAAAAGCAUAACACGAGUUAUUUGGCAUAUUUUGAUCUCCUAUAUAUCCACUUCAUGUGGUACUCAUGGUAUAAAAUAUUGAUGAUAUCGGAAAUAUCGGUAGUCCA
This 62771-nucleotide long non-coding RNA is filed under the name Malus domestica (apple). RNAcentral's name for it is "long non-coding RNA (MDOM_LNC015618)". The record is from RNAcentral. Lineage: Eukaryota; Viridiplantae; Streptophyta; Magnoliopsida; Rosales; Rosaceae.